UGAUGCUGAUAUGGAAGAGCAGGUCAAAGAUAGAGAUGUCAAUCUUGCUGGUGAUGGUGGCAAGAAUCCUGACAAUGUUGGGGAGCAAGUUGAGAAGACAGUGAGGGUUGUUGAAGGAAACGCUUCUGGUGAUGCUACUGUUGACCAUGUCACCGAGGAUAAAAAGCCCAUGAAGAAGAAAAUAAUAAAAAAGGNNNNNNNNNNNNNNNNNNNNNNNNNNNNNNNNNNNNNNNNNNNNNNNNNNNNNNNNNNNNNNNNNNNNNNNNNNNNNNNNNNNNNNNNNNNNNNNNNNNNNNNNNNNNNNNNNNNNNNNNNNNNNNNNNNNNNNNNNNNNNNNNNNNNNNNNNNGAAAAUAAUAAAAAAGGUUGUGAAAGUUGUUCGAAAAAAGCCAACUGCUGAAGCUCCAGUGGAUAAAUCGCCUCAGGUUGACAAGAAUGCCGUGGCAGAAACUGCGAGCAAAACCGUCGAAAAGCACAUUGAACAAAAAAGUGAAGAUCUUGGGGAAGAGAAGGCGGGAGCUGGCAUUGGUCAACAGCCUGAGGCUAAGAAAACUGGGAAGAAGAAGGUAAUUCGAAGGAUUGUUAAAAGAAAAGUUCCUGCUUCAGCGACUGAGCCAACAGCCCUUGCUGCACCUGCUGAAGCAAGUAAACAAGAUGUGGCUGUUCAGCCGGAGAAGUUUGAUGAAGUCCCCACCGAUGCUGGGAAUUCACAGACUAAACUGGAAGAAGGAUUGAAAACUCCUGCNNNNNNNNNNNNNNNNNNNNNNNNNNNNNNNNNNNNNNNNNNNNNNNNNNNNNNNNNNNNNNNNNNNNNNNNNNNNNNNNNNNNNNNNNNNNNNNNNNNNUCGGUAAUCCGCAGCCAGACACCAGUAGUCUGUAAGGCUUAUAUCUCGGAAAUCCGGCUCCCUCCGGACGUCCGAGGGCCGAACGCCUGAGGGCCGAACGUCCGACUGGCUUCGGUAAUCCGCAGCCAUACACCAGUAGUCUGUAAGGCUUAUAUCUCGGAAAUCCGGCUCCCUCCGGACGUCCGAGGGCCGGACGUCCGGCCAAGCUCCGAAAAUCCGGAAGUCAACACCAGUAGAAUGUGUGCACUAUAUCUCGGAAAUCCGGCUCCCUCCGGAUGCCCGAGCGCCGGAUGUCCGACACACAUCGGAAAUCCGGAAGCCACCACGAGUAGAACUUGUGCUGUAUAACACGAACUUCCGGGCCACUCCGGACGUCCGUAUGCUGAUGAAUUCAAAUAUGUUCAGGAACACCUACAGGCCUCGGACGACCGACCACUGUCAGACGUCCGGCCGCUGAUGAAUUCAGAAGAGUUCCAGUCAUGCCUACAGGUCUCGGACGACCGACCCCUGUCGGACGUCCGGACCCUCACGGACGCCCGGACUUCCGACAAGUGUCGGACGUCCGGACCCUGUGUGACUUAUUGCACCUCCAACGGCUGGAUUUCACUCCACACUAUAAAUACUCUUCUCCCACCUCGUGAAAGGGUGUUCAACACAGCUAAGACACAUCCAAGAACACCUUUCCUCUCACUCACUCUUGUCUACACCAAAUCCUAGAUCCCAAGAGCAUUUGUGAGUCCUUUUGAGUGUUGUUCCAAUCAAAAGAUAGAUCGUCUCCCUCUCCUCCUUCCCACCAAAGUGAUUCGUGAUUUGAGCAAGUUUUGAGCAAUCCCCGUGAUCUUGUUACUCUUGGAGGUUGGAGACUCCUAGGCGGUAGGAGUCUUCGGAGAGGAAUCAAACCAUUGUGAUUUCCCCCGGAAAGUUUGUGAAGGUUUGGAAGCCACCUCAAGGCUUACCACUAGUGGUUGAGAAACGCCUUCGUGGAGUUAUCUCAAAGGGAGAAUAGGGUGAGCCUUCGUGGCGUUGGUGUGCCUUCGUGGUAACAUCCGCCCCUCUAACGGUGACGUAGCUUCCCUCCAAGGAAGUGAACAUCGGGAUACAUCCUUGUCUCUCUCGGAGUUUCGGUUAUUCCUAACCCUAACUCUCUACUUGUGUUAAUCCUUAUUACAUACUUGUAUUUUCUUAUUGUUUACGGCUUGCCUUGUUUCACUCCUAAUAGUUUACUCUUUGUCAUAGCAAUUAUUAGGCUUACACUUAUAUUCCGCACUUUAGCCUAAAAUUGCCAAGUAAUUAUUAAAAUUUGGAUUUGUACCUAUUCACNNNNNNNNNNNNNNNNNNNNNNNNNNNNNNNNNNNNNNNNNNNNNNNNNNNNNNNNNNNNNNNNNNNNNNNNNNNNNNNNNNNNNNNNNNNNNNNNNNNNUCCAGUUGAAGAGAAAGUCAUUGCCUAUAAUGAUCCUAUUGUUCCCAGUGCUUACAUUGAGAAACCACCUUUCCCUGUUAGGAUAAAGGAUCAUUCUAAAGCUUCAACUGUUAUACGUAGAGGCUAUAUUAGAACACCUACACCCCCUGAGCAAAUUAGAGCUGAACCUAGCAUUGCUAUCAUCAAAGAUCUUCUGUCCGAUGAUGUUGAGGGACAUAAUAUUCACUUCGGUGAAGAUGCUGCUAGAAUUGCUAAACCUCACGCUAGAGACAAACAUGGGCAUGUUGUUGGCAUGCAUGUUGUUUCUGUUAAGAUAGGAGAUCAUUGUUAUCAUGGUUUAUGUGAUGUGGGUGCUAGUGUUAGUGCAAUACCUCAAUCCUUAUAUGAUGAAAUCAAAGACGAGAUUGCACCUAUUGAGAUAGAGCCUAUUGAUGUCACUAUUAAGCUUGCCAAUAGAGAUACUAUCUGCCCUGUGGGAAUUGUUAGGGAUGUNNNNNNNNNNNNNNNNNNNNNNNNNNNNNNNNNNNNNNNNNNNNNNNNNNNNNNNNNNNNNNNNNNNNNNNNNNNNNNNNNNNNNNNNNNNNNNNNNNNNNNNNNNNNNNNNNNNNNNNNNNNNNNNNNNNNNNNNNNNNNNNNNNNNNNNNNNNNNNNNNNNNNNNNNNNNNNNNNNNNNNNNNNNUUCCUCGUUCUUGCUACCGCACAAGACAGCCUUUGUCCCAUCAUAUUUGGCAGACCCUUCCUCAAUACUGUCAAUGCUCAUAUUGAUUGUGAGAAGCAAAAUGUCACUGUUGGCUUCGAAGGUGUGUCACAUGAGUUCAAUUUCUGUAAGUUUGGUAGACAACCUCAUGAAAAGGAGUUGCCUAGUAGGGAUGAAACUAUUGCCUUAGCCUCUAUUGUUGUGCCUCCUACUGAUCCCUUAGAGCAAUACUUGCUUGAGCAUGAAAAUGAUAUGCAUAUGGAUGAAAGGGAUGAGAUAGAUAGAGUUGUCUUAGAACAAUAUCCUAUCCUUCAGAAUAACUUGCAUGUUGAACUGCUUGGGGAUCCACCCCCACCAAAGGGUGAUCCUAUGUUCGAGCUUAAACAGUUGCCUGAUACUCUUAAGUAUGCUUAUCUUGAUGAAAAAGAGAUAUAUCCUGUUAUUAUUAGUGCUAGCCUCUUAGAGCAUGAAGAAACUAAGUUACUAAAAACUCUCAGGAAGCACCGUGCUGCUAUUGGAUAUACUCUUGAUGAUCUUAAGGGCAUUAGUCCUACUCUAUGCCAUCACAAGAUUAAAACUGAUCCUGACUUCAAACCAGUUGCUGAUCAUCAAAGGAGAUUGAAUCCUAAGAUGAAAGAAGUAGUGAGAAAAGAAAUACUAAAGCUCCUGGAAGCAUGUAUCAUUUAUCCUGUUGCUCAUAGUGAUUGGGUGAGUCCGGUGCAUUGCGACCCUAAGAACGGAGGCAUUACCGUUGUCCCUAAUGAUAAGGAUGAAUUGAUCCCUGCUACUGCAACAAAAGACCUUCCAACGGCGCCAGAAGCGUGCUGACGGGAGACUGUUCAUGUCUUGAUACUCCUCAGCAACGGCACCAGGAAUCCUUCUGCUACGGCUACGCCUUAAGGGACUUCCUAGGCAAAUAUGCAAAGGAUUUCCCCCGUGGCCUUGGAGCCUUGUUGGUGUUCCCUCGAAGUGGAAAGGGUGAUGUAGCGCAGCGGUGGUAAGUAUUUCCCUCAGUUUGAGAACCAAGGUAUCGAUCCAGUGAAGGAGUAUCUCAAGUGCCUGCACAAACACAAAAAGCUUGCUCCCAACGCUAUGAAGGGGUUGUCAAUCCCUUAUAGAUUGUUCGCCAAGUAAGAACUGAAAGCAACAAAGUAACAAAGCAAAGUAAAAGCANUAUCCAGCAUGCAUCUAGUGUAUUAAGUCCAAAAGAACAGAGUAACGCCUUAAGCAAGAUGACAUGAUGUAGAUGGACAAUCUCAUAUCUACGACAAAGCCCACCUUGUUACCCUUGAUGGCAACUACACGAUGUGUGCCUUGCUGCCCCUACUAUCACUGGGAAAGGUCACCACACGGUAAGAACCCAAAACCAAGCACUUCUCCCAUUGCAAAAAUCAUAGAUCUAGUUGGCCAAACAAAACCCAAGACUCGGAGAGACUUACAAGGAUAUCAAAUCAUGCAUAUAAGAAAUCAGCAAAGACUCAAAUAUAUAUCAUAGAUAAUCUAAUCACAAAUCCACAAUUCAUCGGAUAUCAACGAACACACCGCCAAAGAGGAUUACAUCGGAUAGAUCUCCAUGAAGAUCAUGGAGAACUUUGUAUUGAAGAUCCAAGAGAGAGAAGAAGCCAUCUAGCUAGUAACUACGGACCCGUAGGUCUGAAGUGAACUACUCACAAGUCAUUGGAGGGGCGAUGAUGUUGAUGUAGAAGCCCUCCAACUCCAAAGUCCCCUCCGGCAGGGCACCGGGAAGGGUCUCCAGAUGAGAUCUCGCGGAAACGGAAGCUUGCGACGGCGGAAAAGUGUUUUCGAGGAUUCCCUGAUUUUUUUCUGUAUUUUAGGGAAUAUAUAGGCGAAGGAGCUAGGUCAGGGGGGCGCCAGGGAGGCCACAAUCCUGCUGGCCGCCGCCCCCAUGGCGGCGGCUAGGGGGCUUGUGGGCCCCUUGUAGCCCUCCUGGCUUGGCCCUCAAGCCCCCUGAUCUUCUUCCAGUCGGGAAAAUUUUAUUUUUGGGAUUUUAUUCCGUUUGGACUCCGUUCCAAAAUCAGAUCUGAAAAGAGCCAAAAACACAGAAAAAAUAGGAACUGGCACUUGGCACUGAAUUAAUAAGUUAGUCCCAAAGAAGAUAUAAAAGGUACAUAAAACAUCCAAAGAUGACAAGAUAACAACAUCAAACCAUCAAAAAUUAUAGAUACGUUUGAGACGUAUCAAGCAUCCCCAAGCUUAACUCCUGCUCGUCCUCGAGUAGGGAAGUGAUAAAGAAUGAAUUUUUGAUGCUUUCAUGCUACCUAGCAUAGAUGUCCUUUGUAACUCCUCUUAUGUGACGUGAAUGUUCAGAUCCAUUAGAUUCAAAACAAUAGUUUGCUAUUGACAUAGAAACAAUAAUAAUUCAAGCAAACUAGCAAGGUAAUCAUGAACUUUCAAAAUAACAAUGCCAAAAGAAAGUUAUCCCUACAAAAGCAUAUAGUCUGGCUAUUCUCUAUCAUCAUUGCACAACAAAUUUAAAUCAUGCACAACCCCGGUAUUGGGCAAGUAAUUGUUUCACACAUUUACUUUCUCAAACCUUUUCAACUCUCACGCAAUACAUGAGCGUGAGCCAUGGUUUUAGCACUAUAAGUGGUGUGGAGUGUGGUGGAGGUUGCAAGACAAAAUAAGGAGAAGAUGAUCACAUUAACUAGGCAUAUCAAUGAGCUGUGGAGAUGCUCAUCAAUAGAUAUCAAUGUGAAUGAGUAGGGAUUGCCAUACAAAUGAUGCACUAGAGCUAAGAGUAUGUGAAAGCUCUUAAAGAAAACUAGUGGGUGUGCAUCCAACUUGCUUGCUCACGAAGACCUAAGGCAAUUUUGAGGAAGCCUAUCAUUGGAAUAUACAAGCCAAGUUAUAUAAUGAAAAUUUCCCACUAGCUAUAUGGUGGUGACAAAACGAGAUACUCUCAAUCAUGUAGAUCAUGGUGCUUAAUAUGCACAAGUGUGGAAAGGUGGUAACAUUGUCCCUUCUCUCUUUUUCUCUCAUCAUUUUUUUUGGUGGGCUCAUUGGCCUCUUUUUUUUGGUGGGCAUCUUGGCCUCUUUUAUUUCCUCACAUGGGACAAUGCUCCAUCGAUGAUGAUCAUCACACUUUCAACUCAAAACUUAGAGCAACGAUGAUUCUAUAUGGAAUGCCUUCGGUAGUGUACCGUGACAAUGAUCUAGCAAGGCAUAGACAUUAAUGGAAAUAUCAUGCUAGCUAUCUUACGAUCAUGCAAUGGCAAUGUAGAAGUGGUGGCACAUGUCAUGGUGGUAGUUGCAUGGCAAUAUAUCUCGGAAUGACUUUGAAAAAGCCAUAGUAGGUAGGUAUGGUGGCUGUUUUGAGGGAGGCUAAUGGUGGGUUUUGUGCACCGGCGAAAGUUGCACGACACUAAGAAGAUAGUGAUGGUGGAAGGUGAAAGUGCAUUUAAACCAUGGACUCAACAUUAGUCAUGAAGAACUCAUAUACUUGUUGCAAAAGUUUUGUUAGUAAUCAAAACAAAGCAUUCAACGCAUACUCCUAGGGGAAGGGUUGGUAGGUAUAAACCAUCGCGCGAUCCCGACCGCCACACAAAGGAUGACAAUCAAAAGACCAAUCAUGCUCAGACUUCAUCACAUAGUGGUUCACCAUACGUGCAUGCUACGGGAAUCACUAACUUCAACACAAGUAUUUCUAGAUCCACAACACCUUAUUAGCAUAACUUCAAUAUUACCACAACCACAACUCAAAACUAGUUGAGAUGGAUCAAACUUCUAUAACUAUUCAAUGCACAUGAAGGUGGAAGUUUUCGUAUCCCUUUGGAUAACUACCCCUUUUGAGACUACUUUCAAAGCAUAGAUCAACUACCAAGCCACGCACCGCUGUGCUCUAAAAGAUAUAAGUGACGCACAUAGAGCAAAAGUAUCUAGCCCAAAAGAUAUAAGUGAAGCACAUGUGAGCUGAAUUGUCUACCAGAGGAUAUAAGUGAAGCUCGACAAAAUCACGGUGAGUGCAUGUCUCUCUCUCUAGGUGUGCGGCAAGGAUGAUUGUGACACAACAAAAAUAAAAGACUCUUACGAUACAAGACGCUCCAAGCAAAAACACAUAAUAUGUGGUGAAUAAAAAUAUAGCCCCAAGUAACGUUACCGAUGGAUUGAAAACGAGAGAGGGGAUGCCUUCCCGGGGCAUCCCCAAGCUUAGGCUUUUACGGCAUCCUUGAAUCUCUUGGGGUGCCUUGGGCAUCCCCAAGCUUGAGCUCUUGCCACUCUUUAUCUCUUUGUCCAUAAGAACUUCACCCAAAACUUGAAAACUUCACAACACGAAACUUAAAUAGAAACUCGUGAUAACAUUAGUAUAAGAAAGCAAACCACCACUUCCUUAGGUACUGUAGCAAACUUAAAUUCUACUUAUGCUGAUGUUGGGUUACUGUAUUUUCAAUCUUCCAUGGCUAAUACCCCCCGAUACUAUCCAUAGUUUCAUCAAAAUAAGCAACCAACACAACAAAAAACAGAAUAUGUUAACAGCAGACCAGUCUGUAGCAAUCUGUAUAUCUCGUAUACUUCUGGUACUUCAAAAAUUCUGAAACAUUACGACAGUCUGAAGAAUUUGUGUAGAAAUCAGAAGCAAGAAGAAUCAACUCAAAAGCUCUUACAUAAAAAAUGAAAAUUAUUUUCGUGAGCAGAAAGUUUCUGUCUUUUCCACCAUGACCAAACGAUCAUCCCCAAGACUAAUCAUAACGAUUUUGCUUGGCACAAACGCAAAAAGAAACACAAAAAACACAAUCAUAACUGAAUUAUGAAAGUGUGGAAAACACAAAACAGAAAGAAAAAGGAUAGAUUCGUUGGGUUGCCUCCCAACAAGCGCUAUUGUUUAACGCCCUUAGCUAGGCAAAAGGUGAUGGAAUCACGUAUAGUCAUCUUUGGUGCUCAAACCAUAAGUAGCCCUCAUCAUAGAUUCAUAAGGUAAUCUUAUUUUCUUUCUAGGAAAGUGCUAUGUGCCCUUAUUUAAAGGAAAUUGAAAUCUAAUAUUCCCUUCCUUCAUAUCGAUGAUAGCACCAAUAGUCCUUAGGAAAGGUCUACCAAGAAUAAUGGGACAUGAAGGAUUGCAAUCUAUGUCAAGUAUAAUGAAAUCCACGGGUACAUAGUUCUUAUUUGCAACAAUAAGAACAUCAUCGAUCCUUCCCAUGGGUUUCUUGACAGUAGAAUCCGCAAGAUGCAAAUUAAGAGAACACUCUCCAAUCUCAUGAAAACUAAGAAUAUCACAUAAAGACUUUGGAAUCGCGGAAACACUAGCACCCAAAUCAUACAAAGCAUUGCACUCCUAGUUUUUGAUCUUGAUUUUGAUAGUAGGUUCCCACUCAUCAUGAAGUUUUCUAGGUAUAGAGACUUCUAAUUCAAGCUUCUCUUCAAGAGAUUUCAUCAUAGCAUCUACGAUAUGCGCGGUAAAGGCUUUGCUUUGGCUAUAAGCAUGUGGAGAGUUUGCAAUGGAUUGCAUCAAAGAAAUGCAUUCAAACAAGGAGCAAUUAUCAUAAUUGAAUUCCUUGAAAUCCAAAGUGGGAGUUUCAUUACUACCCAAAAUUUUGAUUUCUUCUAAUACACUCUCCACACCUUUAUCAUCAAGAUGGGUGGACUCCGAAUCAUUGGGGCGUUUUUCAACCAAAGUGGAUUCAUAUCCAGCCCCUUCAUCAAUAGGUUUGACAAGCGAAAACUAAGAUUCAAGAGGAGACACACCAAGCACUUUAAGAUCUUCGUGAUUUGCAUCACUAGAAUGCACCCCUUUAAACCAUUCAUGCCUGGCGCGAAUUUGGGCGGUUCUUUCUUUGCUCUCAUUCAUGGAGACACGCAUAGAUUUCAAAGUUUCAUCCAAGUUGACCUUGGGAGGAGCGCAUCUAACUUUCAAAGCAUCAAUAUCACAAGACAUCCUAUCAACGCUCUUAGCCAAAUCGUCUAUCUUGAGUAGUUUUUCCUCUAUGAACGCAUUGAAAAUCUUUUGAGAGUUGAUGAACUCUUUGAUAUUACUCUCUAAAUCAGAGGGUAAUUUGUUGUGAUUUCCAUAAGUGUUGUUGUAGGAAUUUCCAUAGUUGUUAGAGGAGUUACUAGGAAAAUGCCUAGGAACAUAGUUUCCUCUAAAAGCAUUGUUGUUGCCAAAAUUGUUCCUACCAACAAAAUUCACGUCCAAACUAGCGUUGCUACUCUCAAUCAAAGAAGAUAGUGGCAUGUCAUUAGGAUCUAAAGGAGCGUUUCUACUAGCAACCAAAUUCAUCAACUCGUCCAUCUUAGCACUAAGCGAAUUAAUUUCUUCUAUAGCGUGUACCUUUUUGCUAGGAGGCGACCUUUCAGUGUGCCACUUAGAGUAGUUGGUCAUAAUAUUGUCUAGGAGUUUUGUAGCGUCUCCUAACGUGAUUUCCAUGAACGUUCCACCUGAGGCGGAGUCCAAUAUAUUGCGAGAAGCGAAAUUCAAGCCAGUGUAAAAGAUUUGUAUAAUCAUCCACAAACUCAAGCCAUGAGCGGGACAAUUUCUAAUCAUAAGCUUCAUCCUCUCCCAAGAUUGUGCAACGUGUUCAUGAUGAAGUUGCUUGAAAUUCAUGAUAUCGUUACGUAAGGAGAUGAUCUUAGCCGGCAGAAAAUCUUGGAUAUGUAAGCAUCUUUGCACUUAUCCCAAGAAUCGAUACUAUUUUUAGGCAAAGAAGAAAACCAAGUUUUUGCGCGAUCUCGCAACGAGAAAGGAGAAAGCUUCAACUUAAUCACGUCAUUAUCCACAUCUCUUUUGUUUUGCAUAUCACAAAGCUCAAUGAAGGUAUUGAGAUGGGAUGCAACAUCUUCACUAGGAAGGCCAGAGAAUUGCUCUUUCAUAACAAGAUUCAGCAAAGCUGCGUUGAUUUCGUACGAUUCCGCACUAGUGGCGGGAGCAAUCGGAGUACUAAUAAAAUCAUUAUUAUUGGUACUCGAGAAGUCGCAAAGUUUGGUGUUUUCAGCCAUGAUGACUUCAACAAACAAACAAGCACACAAGCAAGCAAGAAAACCAGCAAAGGAAAACGGCAAAAAGGCAAAUGGAAAAAGAAAAAGGCAAAGGAGAAAGGCAAAUGAAAACGGCAAAUGUGAAGUGGGGGAGAAGAAAACGAGAGGCAACUGGCAAAAAAGUAAAUGCAAGAGAUGAGUUUGUGAGACCUACUUGGAUAAAUCUCUCCUUCCCCGGCAACGGCGCCAGAAAUACUUCUGCUACUGCAACAAAAGACCUUCCAACGGCGCCAGGAACGUGCUGACGGGUGACUGUUCUUGUCUUGAUACUCCUCAGCAACGGCACCAGGAAUCCUUCUGCUACGGCUACGCCUUAAGGGACUUCCUAGGCAAAUAUGCAAAGGAUUUCCCCCGUGGCCUUGGAGCCUUGCGUUGGUGUUCCCUCGAAGCGGAAAGGGUGAUGUAGCGCAGUGGUGGUAAGUAUUUCCCUCUGUUUGAGAACCAAGGUAUCGAUCCAGUGAAGGAGUAUCUCAAGUGCAUGCACAAACACAAAAAGCUUGCUCCCAACGCUAUGAAGGGGUUGUCAAUCCCUUAUAGAUUGUUCACCAAGUGAGAACUGAAAGCAACAAAGUAAAAAAGCAAAGUAAAAGCAAAAGUGGAAACGAUAGGUGUGAAUAGACCCGGGGGCCGUAGUGUUUACUAGUGGCUUCUCUCAUGAAAGCAAGUAGACGGUGGGUGAACAAAUUACUGUCGAGCAAUUGAUAGAAGCGCGCAAAGUCGUGACGUCAUCUAUGGAAAUGAUUAUAUCUAUAGGCAUCACGUCCAAAACAAGUAGAUCGAUACUUUCUGCAUCUACUACUAUUACUCCACACGUCGACCGCUAUCCAGCAUGCAUCUANNNNNNNNNGAGCAAUUGAUAGAACCGCGCAAAGUCGUGACGUCAUAUAUGGCAAUGAUUAUAUCUAUAGGCAUCACGUCCAAAACAAGUAGACCGAUACUUUAUGCAUCUACUACUAUUACUCCACACGUCGACCGCUAUCCAGCAUGCAUCUAGUGUAUUAUGUCCAAAAGAACAGAGUAACGCCUUAAGCAAGAUGACAUGAUGUAGAUGGACAAUCUCAUAUCUACGACAAAGCCCACCUUGUUACCCUUGAUGGCAACUACACGAUGUGUGCCUUGCUGCCCCUACUGUCACUCAGAAAGGUCACCACAUGGUAAGAACCCAAAACCAAGCACUUCUCCCAUUGCAAGAAUCAUAGAUCAAGUUGGCCAAACAAAACCCAAGACUCAGAGAGACUUACAAGGAUAUCAAAUCAUGCAUAUAAGAAAUCAACAAAGACUCGAAUAUAUAUCAUAGAUAAUCUGAUCACAAAUCCACAAUUCAUCGGAUCUCGACAAACACACCGCCAAAGAGGAUUACAUCGGAUAGAUCUCCAUGAAGAUCAUGGAGAAGUUUGUAUUGAAGAUCCAAGAUGGAGAAGAAGCCAUCUAGCUACUAACUACGAACCAGUAGGUCUGAAGUGAACUACUCACGAGUCAUUGGAGGGGCGAUGAUGUUGAUGUAGAAGCCCUCCAACUCCAAAGUCCCCUCCGGCAGGGCACCGGGAAGGGUCUCCACAUGAGAUCUCGCGGAAACGGAAGUUUGCUGCGGCAGAAAAGUGUUUUCGAGGAUUCCCUGGUUUUUUCUGUAUUUUAGGGAAUAUAUAGGCGAAGGAGCUAGGUUAGGGGGGCGCCAGGGAGGCCACAAGCCUGCUGCCCCCCCUGGUGGUGGCUAGGGGGCUUGUGGGCCCCGUGUAACCCUCCUGCCUUGGCCCUCAAGCCCCGUGAUCUUCUUCCAGUCGGGGAAAUUUUAUUUUGGGGAUUUUAUUCCGUUUGUACUCCGUUCCAAAAUCAGAUCUCAAAAGAGCGAAAAACACAGAAAAAACAGGAACUGGCACUUGGCACUGAAUUAAUAAGUUAGUCCCAAAAAAGAUAUAAAAGGUACAUAAAACAUCCAAAGAUGACAAGAUAACAUCAUGAAACCAUCAAAAAUUAUAGAUACAUUUGAGACGUAUCAAGCAUCCCCAAGCUUAACUCCUGCUCGUCCUCGAGUAGGGAAGUGAUAAAGAAUGAUUUUUUUAUGCUUUCAUGCUACCUAGCAUAGAUGUCCUUUGUAACUCCUCUUAUGUGACGUGAAUGUUCAGAUCCAUUAGAUUCAAAACAAUAGUUUGCUAUUGACGUGGAAACAAUAAUAAUUCAAGCAAACUAGCAAGGUAAUCAUGAACUUUGAAAAUAACAAGGCCAAAAGAAAGCUAUCCCUACAAAAGCAUGUAGUCUGGCUAUGCUCUAUCAUCAUUGUAGAACGAAUUUAAAUCAUGCACAACCCCGGUAUUGGCCAAGUAAUUGUUUCACGCCUUUACUUUCUCAAACCUUUUCAACUCUCACGCAAUACAUGAGCGUGAGCCAUGGUUUUAGCACUAUAAGUGGUGUGGAGUGUGGUGGAGGUUGCAAGACAAAAUAAGGAGAAGAUGAUCACAUUAACUAGGCAUAUCAAUGAGCUGUGGAGAUGCUCAUCAAUAGAUAUCAAUGUGAAUGAGUAGGGAUUGCCAUACAAAUGAUGCACUAGAGCUAAGAGUAUGUGAAAGCUCUUAAAGAAAACUAGUGGGUGUGCAUCCAACUUGCUUGCUCACGAAGACCUAAGGCAAUUUUGAGGAAGCCUAUCAUUGGAAUAUACUCCCUCCGUUCCUAAAUAUAAGUCUUUUUAGAGGUUCAACUAAUGAACUACAUACGGAUGUAUAUAGACAUACUUUGAAGUAUAGAUUCAUUUAUUUUGCUCUGUAUGUAUACACCUAGUGAAAUGUCUUAAAAGACUUAUAUUUAGGUACGGAGGGAGUACAAGCCAAGUUAUAUAUUGAAAAUUUCCCACUAGCUAUAUGGUGGUGACAAAACGAGAGACUCUCAAUCAUGAAGAUCAUGGUGCUUAAUAUGCACAAGUGUGGAAAGGUGGUAGCAUUGUCCCUUCUCUCUUUUUCUCUCAUCAUUUUUUUGGUGGGCUCUUUGGCCUCUUUGACUUUUGUGAAAAGAUUGUUGAGGUUUUCAUGGAUAACUUCUCCGUUUACGGGGUAUUCCUUUGAUUAUUGCCUCAGCAACCUUGAUCGAGUCUUGCAGAGAUGUAAAGACUCCAAUCUUGUCUUGAAUUGGGAGAAGUGCCACUUUAUGGUUAAUGAAGGCAUCGUCUUAGGACAUAAAAUUUCUGAAAGAGGUAUUGAAGUCGAUAAGGCUAAGGUUGAUGCAAUCGAGAAAAUGCCAUACCCCACAGAUAUCAAAGGGAUAAGAAGUUUCCUUGGUCAUGUUGGUUUCUAUAGAAGGUUCAUUAAAGACUUCUCUAAGAUUUCUAGGCAUCUUACCAAUCUCUUGCAAAAGGAUAUUCCUUUUGUUUUUGACGAUGAUUGUGAGGAAGCCUUCGAAAUACUUAAGAGGGCUUUGAUAACUGCACCUAUUGUUCAACCACCUGAUUGGAACUUACCUUUUGAAAUCAUGUGUGAUGCUAGCGAUUAUGCUGUUGGUGUUGUCCUAGGGCAAAGAGUUGAUAAGAAGUUGAAUGCUAUUCACUAUGCUAGUAAAACUCUAGAAAGUGCCCAAAGAAACUAUGCCACUAUGGAAAAGGAGUUUUUAGCAGUCGUGUUUGCCUGUGAAAAGUUCAGGUCUUACAUAGUUGAUUCCAAAGUCACUAUUCACACUAAUCACGCUGCUAUUAAGUACCUCAUGGAGAAGAAGGACGCUAAACCUAGACUUAUCAGAUGGGUUCUCUUGCUACAAGAAUUUUAUUUGCACGUUGUCGACAGAAAGGGUGCUGAUAACCCCGUAGGAGAUAACUUGUCUAGGUUGGAGAACGUUCUUGAUGACCCACAACCUAUUGAUGAUAGCUUUCCCGAUGAGCAAUCGAAUGUCAUCAAUGCUUCAUGUAGUGCACCGGGGUAUGCUGAUUAUGCAAACUAUAUCAUUGCCAAAUAUAUACCACCUAGUUUCACAUACCAGCAAAAGAAGAAAUUCUUCUUUGACUUGAGACAUUACUUUUGGGAUGAUCCUCACCUUUAUAAGGAAGGAGUAGAUUGUGUUAUUAGACGUUGUGUACCUGAACAUGAACAGGGACAAAUCCUACAGAAGUGUCACUCCGAGGCCUACGGAGGACACCAUGCGGGAGAUAGAACUGCACAAAGGUAUUGCAAUCAGGUUUCUAUUGGCCCACUCUCUUCAAGGAUGCCCGUAAGUUUGUCUUGUCUUGUGAUGAAUGUCAAAGAGUAGGUAAUAUCGGUAAAUGUCAGGAAAUGCCUAUGAACUAUUCACUUGUCAUUGAACCAUUUGUUGUAUGGGGCUUUGAUUAUAUGGGACCUUUUCCAAAAUCCAAUGGGUAUACUCAUAUCCUAGUUGUUGUUGAUUACGUCACUAAGUGGGUAGAAGCUAUCCCCACUAGUAGUGCUGAUCACAACACUUCUAUCAGGAUGCUUAAAGAAGUUAACUUCCCUAGAUUUGGAGUCCCUAGAUAUCUAAUGACCGACGGUGGUUCACAUUUCAUUCAUGGUGCUUUCCGUAAAACGCUUGCUAAGUACGAUGUUAACCAUAGAAUUGCGUCUCCCUAUCACCCCUAGUCUAGUGGUCAAGUAGAGCUAAGCAAUAGAAAGAUUAAACUGAUUCUGCAAAAGACUGUCAACAGGUCUAGAAAGAAUUGGUCUAAGAAGCUCGAUGAUGCACUGUGGGCUUAUAGAACUGCCUAUAAGAAUCCCAUGGGCAUGUCUCCGUACAAAAUGGUGUACAGUAAAGCAUGUCAUUUACCUCUUGAGCUAGAGCAUAAAGCUUAUUGGGCAAUCAAAGACCUCAACUUUGAUUUCAAGCUUGCCGGUGAGAAGAGGUUAUUUGACAUUAGCUCGCUUGAUGAAUGGAGAACUCAGGCAUAUGAGAAUGCCAAGUUGUUCAAAGAGAAGGUUAAGAGGUGGCAUGAUAAGAGGAUACAAAAGCGUGAGUUCAAUGUAGGUGAUUAUGUCUUGCUAUAUAACUCUCGUUUAAGAUUCUUUGCAGGCAAGCUUCUCUCUAAAUGGGAAGGUCCCUAUGUUGUUGAGGAAGUAUAUCGUUCCGGUGCUAUCAAGACCAACAACACGGAAGGUAAUUGUCCGAGAGUUGUAAAUGGGCAGAGAAUCAAGCAUUAUAUCUCAGGUACUCCCAUAAAUGUUGAAAUCAAUAUCAUCAAUACCAUAACUCUAGAAGAAUACCUAAGGGACAUUUAUCAGCCUGUUUCAGACUCCGAAAACGAAGAGUAUGUGAUUCGGUAAGAAAACAGAGUCCAAAACUUUUCGAGUAGAAUUUUUUCUCCGUUUUGGAAUAUUUGAAAAAAAAAUUGGAAGUAGUCCGGAAAGUGCGCGAGGAGGCGACAAGCCUUCCCGGCGCGGGCCCACCCCCUGACCGCGCCGGGAGGGCUUGUGGCCACCUCGUGCACCUCCCGGACUCCGUUUUCGUGCGGAGUACUCCUUCUGGUCUGGAAAAAAUCAAUAUAUACUCUCCCGUUUGGUCUGACCCCUACAUCACGCAGAUUUCCUCUGUUUUUUGUUUCGAGCCUGUUUCUGUUGUAGAUCUAGAUCGCUAUGACUUCCCCAAAAGCUCCGAAGGACAAGAUCUUCGAGAAGGUCAUCAAUACCUACCUCACGGGAGUGUUGCAACACCCUCAAUCUAUCGAGAUGCGUGAGGGGAUGUUGCACAUCCGUGAUGUUGAGGGGCCCAAGAAGACCGGAAGCGUGGAGAUGAGGCUCGAAGCAAUGGAGCAACAAGUCUUCAAGUGCCAAGGGAUGGUGGAGCAUGGACUCAAUGCCAACCACAUGAUGAUCAUGGAGUUCACCAACAAGCACAUGAUUGAUGCCAAUGACAUUGGGAAGCACCUCUCCAGGCUCUAUGACAGGAUUGAUCAACUCCAUGCCCAGAUCUAUGACCUGCAGAACCAAAACUGUGAGUAUGAGUAUAGAUUUAAAUCAAUACAGUUGGCUGCAGAUUUGAGGAUUCCAGAGACUCGUUCAUCUUUCCAUGAUGGAGCACCUAUGCCUUGGAAGACGUAGGAUCAAGCCCAUGUUGCAACAACUCCACCACCAUCACCUCCAAAGGAAGACAGCUAAGCAUGGGUAUGGGCAAUCCCCUUGGCUGGUGCCAAGCUUGGGGGAGUUGCCCCGGUAUCGUAUCACCAUCACAUAUUUUCCCUUUACCUUUGUUUUAAGUUUUCCUUUUCAGUUUUCUCUUUCUCUAGUAGAUUAAAAGUCUUAGUGUUUUAGUCUUGAGUUUUGCUUUGUGUCACCCCCGAUGUAUUCGAGCUCGUGAUGUAUGUGCAAGCAAUAAAAAUUGCUCUCUAGUUUGUAUGAUCUAUUAGUGUGUGGAAAAUAAGCUUUGUACGAACCUGUGAUGAGGAAGACAUAAAAGCGACAGACUGCAUAAUAAAGCUCUUUAUCAUAGGAGGCAAUAUAAAGUGACGUUCCUCCACACUAAGAGGACACACAUCCAAACCUCAAAAGCGCAUGACAACCUCUGCUUCCCUCUGCGAAGGGCCUAUCUUGUACCUUUACUUUUUGCCCUUGAAAGAGUCAUGGUGAUCUUCACCAAUUCCUUAUUUCGCCUUUAUCUUGGCUAACGUCAUAUGCUUGGGAAAGAUCUAUAUUCAUAUGUCAACUUGGAAGUAAGUAUUCAUGAUUUAUUAUUGUUGACAUUACCCUUGAGGUAAGCAGUUGGGAGCCAAAACUGUAAGCCCCUAUUUUUCUCUAUAUUCAGCUGAAACUUUGAUCUCAUGAGUACCGCGUGAGUUGCAGCAAUUGUAGAGAACGAAAGAAUGAUUGAGUAUGUGGAUUUGCUUUACAAGCUCUUAUUUGACUAUUUCUAAUGUUGUGAUAAAUUGCAAUUGCUUCAAUGACUAAAGGCUAUCGGUUGUUACUUCUCGGUAAGGUUCUUGAUCCAUGCUUUACUUUGUGAAGGAAUUAUCACUUUAGCAUGAGAGAUUAUAUGUUGGUAUGGCUGUUCUGGUCAUGAUCAUGAUGCAUGCAUGUUCGUAUCUUGUUUUGUCGACACCUCUCUCCCUAAACAUGUGGACAUAUUUAUUGAGCUAGGCUUUCGCUUUAGGACAAGCGAGGUCUAAGCUUGGGGGAGUUGAUACGUCCAUUUUGCAUCAUGUUUUCAUGUUGAUAUUUAUCGCUUCUUGGGCUGUUAUUUCACUUCACGGUACAAUACUUAUGCCUUUUCUCUCUUAUUUUGCAAGGUUUACAUGAAGAGGGAGAAUGCCGGCAGCUGGAAUUCUGGCGUGAAAGAGGAGCAAAGUUGAGAUACCUAUUCUGCGCAACUCCAAACGUUGUAAAAAUCAACGAGGAUUUUUUUUCUGGAUUUAUAAAAAUACUGGGCCAAAGAAGCGCCAGAAUGGGCGCCAGCAAGUGGCCACAAGCCUGCACGGUGCGGCCACCCCCAGGCCGCGCCAAGGGGGCUUGUGGGCAGCCUGCUGGCCCAUUGGCCCCCCUCUUCUGCUAUAUGAAGGGUUUCGUCCAGAAAAAAAAAUCAAGGAGGAGCUUUUUCGUGGAUUCGCCGCCGCCACGAGGCGGAACUUGAGCAGAACCAAUCUAGAGCUCCGGCAGGACGAUCCUGCCGGGGAAACUUCCCUCCCGGAGGGGGAAAUCAUCGCCAUCGUCAUCACCAACACUCCUCUCAUCGAAGGGGACUCGUCACCAUCAACAUAUUCAUCAACACCAUCUCAUCUCCAAACCCUAGUUCAUCUCUUGUAACCAAUCUCCCUCUCGCGACUCCGAUUGGUACUUGUAAGGUUGCUAGUACUGUUGAUUACUCUUUGUAGUUGAUGCUAGUUGGAUUACUUGGUGGAAGAGUUUAUGUUCACAUCCUUGAUGCUACUCAUUACCUCUCUGGUCAUGAAUAUUAUUAUGCUUUGUGAGUAGUUACUUUUGUUCCUGAGGACAUGGGAUAAGUCAUGCUAAUACUAGUCAUGUGAAUUUGGUAUUCGUUCGGUAAUUUGAUGUGUUGUAUGUUGUUUUUCCUCUAGUGGUGUUAUGUGAACGUCGACUACAUAACACUUCACCAUUAUUUGGGCCUAGAGGAAGGCAUUGGGAAGUAGUAAGUAGAUGAUGGGUUGCUAGAGUGACAGAAGCUUAAACCCUAGUUUAUGCGUUACUUCGUAAGGGGCUCAUUUGGAUCCACUAGUUUAAUGUUAUGGUUAGACUUUGUAUUGAUUCUUAUUUCGUAGUUGCGGAUGCUUGCGAGAGGGGUUAAUAAUAAGUGGGAUGCUUGUCCAAGUAAGGGCAGUACCCAAGCGCCGGUCCACCGACAUAUCAAACUAUCAAAGUAACGAACGUGAAUCAUAUGAACAUGAUGAAACUAGCAUGACAGAAAUUCAUGUGUGUCCUCGGGAGCGCUUUUCCUCCUAUAAGACUUUGUCCAGGCUUGUCCCUUGCUACAAAAGGGAUUGGGCCACUUUGCUGCACCAUUGCUACUUUUGUUACUUGUCGCUCUCUACGAAUCAUCUCACCACUCAAUCACUUGUUACCGAUAAUUUCAGUGCUUGCAGAUAUUUCCUUGCUGAAAACCACUUGUCGGAUCCUUCUGCUCCUCGUUGGGUUCGACACUCUUACUUAUCUAAAGGACUACGAUUGAUCCCCUAUACUUGUGGGUCAUCAGCAGGCCGUCCCAGGUAGUGAUGGACGCCUUCGGGAGGUUCAGGAGCCAGGAGAGUGCGCCGCCCUUGAGCGCCAUGGGGAACCAACACGCCAUGACCUUGUCGCCUCCGCCCGCCGCCUUGAUGCUCAGCGUGUAAAGUUGCAGGAACUCAGCCGGGUCUUGGUUGCCAUUGUAGCGCGGGGGCAGGCCGGGGCUUGAACUUGCAGGGCAACUUGGCGGGGUAGAGCUCGGGGGCGAUGGCGGGGCACCCCACCGGUCCGACGGGUAUUGUGUGCACGGGAGCCAUCGAGUCUUGUUGCUCCACGGGGUCUGCUUCGAGCGGGGUGCGCUCACGACGCGUAAUUUGCAGUGCUGGGGGCGCGCACACAUCGGCGCGGGGCCGUGGAACCACCUGGCAGCUUGCUUCGUCUCAAGGUCCCGCCCUCGGUUCGUGAGGCCGGUCGCGGGGUCGCGCUUCCUGUCUGGGCUCGGGGUCCGCGACGCGCCGUGGAGGUGGGGGUGGCGCGUCUUCCUCCUCAUUGUUUGUCAGGGACGGUUGGGGUCGGAGUGAGAAGGAGAGUGCCGCGGAGUCACCGGCGGCGAUGAUGAGCUCCUCGAUGCGCUGGAGCCAGUCGUCGUGGCAGUUAGGAGCAGGCCGGUAGCGGGGCAGCUCGGUGGCCAUGGAAAGCGUGCGCCGGCCGUGGGGCAUCUCUGGCCGGUCGCGCGAUACCUACCCUGAAGGUCGGGCGAGUGACGGAGUGGCGGUGCGGCCAUCCGCCUGCUCGGUCGCCGGCUGGGAGGAACCUUGUUGCUCUUGAACCUCGGGGCCGGUGGCAGCAUUCACCACGGGUGACGGCGACCGGCGCGCCGGCAUCGAUGGGCGCUUUCUGGGCGAUGCGGGUGGCACGGUGCUCCACGCGAACCCGGCGAGCGUCAACCAUCGGAGCGGCAGAGCUUGGUAAAGAUGGAUUUUGGACGGAACCUCGACAUACACCCUACCUGGCGCGCCAAAUGUCAGAUUUCGGGCUUCACAAAACCCUAAGGAUUCGAACACAGGGGCGUGUACGAAGAUCUCUCCCUGCUCGGCCUCACCUAGCUCACUACUCGAUGGAAACGACGAAGGACUCGCUCGAUGGUGAGGGGAACGCAAAACACGACAGUUUACCCAGGUUCGGGCCGCUGCGAAGCGUAAAACCCUACUCCUCUUUUGGUGGAUUGCCUCUCUCGGAGGUGGGUGGAUGAACUAGUACAGUGCUCUCGAGCCUCCGGAGGCCAAGUGAUUGAGUGUGUUGCUCUUGAUUGGGAAUGAACUGCCCCCCCCCCCCCCCCGGNNNNNNNNNNNNNNNNNNNNNNNNNNNNNNNNNNNNNNNNNNNNNNNNNNNNNNNNNNNNNNNNNNNNNNNNNNNNNNNNNNNNNNNNNNNNNNNNNNNNNNNNNNNNNNNNNNNNNNNNNNNNNNNNNNNNNNNNNNNNNNNNNNNNNNNNNNNNNNNNNNNNNNNNNNAAGUAUCCUACCCUCUCUCUUUAUAGUGGAGGCCAGGGUCCUCUUCCCUCAUAGCUUCGAGGGGAAGGGGUCCUAAAGCGGCCAAUUUUGAAGGGGGGCAAGGGAACAUGCUCCCCUGCCCAAAGGUGAUCUUCGCCUGCAAAGUAACUGCUCGCGCUGUAGGGAUGGGCCCGAAGGUGACGCUUGCCCUACUGGUGGGCGGUGGCGGCUUCGUUGCAGCAGAAAGGAAACCUUUGGAAGAUGCCUUUGGAACCCCUGUACGCUUCCGCCCCCUUUGCACUAAAGGGGAAACUGUUCCAUCCUGCCAUUUGUUGCUCGCAUGUCCUUCCCCAGCGUCACCCUUGACUCGUGAGGCCCGACCUUGCCUCGGAAUAUCCGCCACUCCGGAGGGGUCGUGAGGAGGCCCCGUGCAGGUCUUGACAAUGCUUCCCAUCGUGAGGCUUGGCCCCUCACAAGGGCCUUGCCUUGAACGGUGUCGGGCCCGUCGGUUUGUUUUUGUGAGGUGAGCCUGCCCUGGGCCACACGCAGGCAGGUCUGGGUACCCCCAUUCCUAGAACGCCGACAACUAGAAAAACCACAAAAAUCUUACUAUAGUAUGUUCCUUGAGAGUCUUUGCGUAGGAGAGGAUAGAUAUGUGACACAAGCUAGAAUAAAAAGUAUUCAUUUUCCCUGUAUUCGCUGCUUUGCAUUGUUUAAUGAAACAUGUGUAGUAGGUAAGCACGACUAUAAUGCACUUUGUGCUCCCGACUUGAGUCUCGUUCACACUACGGUUACUCGUGAGAGAUGAUACAACCUUCGUGCAAGUGUUGCUCGCAGCCUGCACCUUAAUGCGGGUAUUUGUCGGGGAUAUAACCCCACGAUAUAAUUCACCCUAUUGGGUCGGGUCAUCCUGAUGGCGUCUCAUAAGCAAUACACAAGGUGGGCUGAAACUCGGAGGAACAAGACCGGCAAGGCAGCUUACCAAGUAAGUCGGUUUGCGGCCCAAUGUGAGAAGACGGCGAAUCAAGGCCCAAGAGGUGUAAAGUCACCUAGAGUUUCCUUGCUUAGGAGGCAAGGCGAGUUAGAGAUAUACUUGGUCACGAAUCAUAACACGACUCGGACCCUUGUAAGCCAAGGGCCUCGACCUAUAUAUAAAGGCGAGGCCUUGAUACAAAUAGACUUAAGUUGCAAUAGAUCAAUAGCUAGGUCAAGUGAAUCCGCUCCCUUGUAAUUAAUAUCCAAGCAAUAAGCAGAAAGUAGGAGUAGGCUUUUACCUCGAUCAUGAGGGGCCAAACCAGGGUAAACUGUAUGUCUCGAUUCCGAUCAACCCCAACAAGCUAACCAUCCAGUUGCGAUGGCCUCACGUCUAAGUCCUCACACAAGGACAUGUGUGGUGACCAAACCACAAUAGUUGGCACCCACCAUGGGGACAGCGCACUAUGGUUUUGAGUUCUUGAAGGGCUCUUUCCCACGGCUCGAGGGAUACGCCAUUGACAAGAUGACAAAGAGCCACCACGAAAAACUCUACAUCGACGAUGUUGUGUGGGGUCCCGAGGCCGACUCAAUCGAGUACGGGUACCAGGUCCCCUUUGGCAAGAUUCGUGUCUUCAUGAGCAAGAUCGGCGAGUCAGAAUCCGAGUUGAACAUCUGCACCGACCUCAUUGAGUUGGCUCGGCAUGCGCAACCCGCCCGGAGUCAAGUCGGACAGAAGCAUGUUUUUGUUGGUUUUGUGCAAGGUGUAGAACUUGAGGAAAACUCUGUGUCUGGAGGAGAGACUCUUGUUUAUAUAGAUGAUGAGUCCUCAACCAAAGAGACGGAGUCGGUUUAUCUGCUUGAAGAUAGCGGGCUUGGGGGCUACUCCAAUGGCAAUAGUAUUCCGGACCCCAAUGAGCCGCCGUAUCGAGCCGCCAUCUUCAUGAACGGGACGACGCCGGCUCUCCACACUAUAGUGGUCGAAGCAACAACAAUAGUUGACCCUUCAGCACCGGCUUCUGGGGUAUCUGAUUCGGUUAGGCCACCGACUCAAGUUUUGUCUGAGCCGAUGACCACCCUGACAACCUUACUAGGGACCUAGAUCACUGUGGAAAAUCAAGCAAGACGCAAUGCGGAGAUUGCAAAGAUACAUGAACAGAUGACCAAGUCUGAGGAAGACAUUAACGCUGAGAUCACCUGGACAGCAACACUUCAAGCUCAGGUUAAUGUGGAAGCACAUCGUCUGAAGAAGGAGGCAUGGCGUCUUAGCCUUGAUCAAAACACAUCCAAUGCAGUUCUUCGCCGGAGGCACGAUACCCGUUUACCCCCAGUCUAUGAGCCCACACGUUUGCUCAACUCUCCAGGAGCAUGCCCAAGUACUCCACAAGCACCAGUUAUACCCCAAUUGACUUAUGUGAUGCCUGGGGCAGGGUGGCAGCUCAACCUCAUCGGCCAGAGCCAGCACGGAGGGAAGAGCCGGUCCUAGACCUGCCCCUAGUCCACACGACACUCAUGUCUACUGCACAACUUUAUUCUUGUAGACUAUGUUGGGCCUCCAAGCGCAGUGUUUUGUAGGACAGUAGCAAUUUUCCCUCAAGUGGAUGACCUAAGGUUUAUCAAUCCAUGGGAGGUGUAGGAUGAAUAUGGUCUCUCUCAAACAACCCUGCAAUCAAAUAAUAAAUACUCUCUUGUGUCCCCAACACACCCAAUACAAUCGUAAAUUGUAUAGGUGCACUUGUUCGGCGAAGAGAUGGUGAUACAAGUGUAGUGAUGAUAGUAGAUAUAUUUUUUGUAAUCUAAUAAUAUAAAAACAGCAAGGUAGCAAGUGUAAAGCGAGCCUCAUUUUCUAUGGCAUGAGAUUCGGCUUGCUAGCUUUCAGUACAAGCGAGCCUUUCCUCAUGCCUCCUUCAUCCAGGCUCUUAUUGAUCAUGUAGCUGAUUUCUCUGUGGCUGUCACUCACACACAUCGCAAGUGGGUCAUUCCCGCUCACAUGGCGGAUAACUAUGCUCUCAAGAAAACCCCCUCAUCCUCCACAUCCACUCGUCGCACUGCUGCCCGGUCCGCCACCCCCUCAUCUAGCUCCGCUCCUCUCGGUCGCAUUGCCAAAUUCCUUGGCAAGGCCCAUUCUGCUUUGAUGAAGGCCGUCUCUUUCCAGUGUGGCCAAACCCAUGAUGUGGUUUCUCGCUUAGUCUCCUCCAAGAAUGCUCUCAAGGCUCGUCUGAGAGCCUCGGGCGCUCUUGAUGUGAGUGAUGAUGAGGCCACUCCUGCUGCUCCUCCUACUGAUUUUGGCUUCCCAUCUGGUCCUGAGUGGGCUGAUUUCCUUGACGAGGCUGGUGGCAGUGGCUUGCCUAAUGAUGAUGAUGAUGAUGAUGAUGAGCUCUGAGCAUGGUUGUUGCUGGUGGUAUCUCCCUUUUUGGUACUUGGUGCCAAAGCGGGAGUAAUGUAUCGUAGUUUUUAGUCUUUGGAGAUUUAAUGUAAUGGAUAAACUCAUGUAUGGCUACUUAUGAAUGAUUGUGAUUUGCUAUGGAUUGCUAUGAUAUCAUCAUCGACUAUUAUGUUUUGCUCUACUACUUCUAUGAUGAUCUAUUAUCUUUACAUGUUGAUCCAUUGGUUCUUCGAUAUUUUAUCAUGCAUAUACUAAGGGGGAGCUCCGUACUAAAUAUCUCCUAGGCUAUAAUGUAUGUUAAAUCUUUUUGAGACCUAUGUAAAUGUUGUCAUCAACUACCAAAAAGGGGGAGAUUGAAAGUGCAUGCUAUGCCCCUAAUCGACUUUUGGUGUUAAUGACAACACAUACAUAGGAAACUAAUCCUAUUUGUUGAGUGUAUCUCAGGAUGGCAAGUACUUUAGUAAAUUGAGAAUUAUGUGCCAAAGGUUGUCUCAGAAGAUUGGGAUUUAUAAUUCGAGAAGGCUCGGGAUUAUGAAAAGAUGAUGUAGACUAGUCUUUUGAGUUUAGUGAUAUUGAGUAUAGGGAUCUCGCACUAUUAAGAGGGGAUCACAGGUUUUGCGAUGAACUUGAUCAUACCACAUCUUUACUAUCAUACCCAAUACCACACAUUCUCCACUCUGUUCUUCUAUCAAAACAGGUCUAUUGCCUCGGACAUCCGGCUCCCUCCGGACGUCCGAGGGCCGGACGACCGACAGGCUUCGGAAAUCCGCAGCCCUUCACCAGAAGUUUGUGAGUCAUAUAACUCGGAAAUCCGGCUCCCUCCGGACAUCCGAGGGCCAGACGUCCGACCAGCCCCGGAAAUCCGGAACCCUGCACCAGUAGAAGUUGAGUUCUAUAACUCGGAUUUCCGGCUCCCUCCGGACGUCCGAGGGCCGGACGUCCGACCCCCUUCGGAAAUCCGGAACCUACCACGAGAAGAAGUUGAGUCGUAUAACUCGGAUUUCCGGUCCUCUCCGGACGUCCGGUCGUUGUUCAAGUCAAAACAGUUUCAGUCAUAUCUACAUGCCUCGGACGACUGACCCCUGUCGGACGUCCGACCCCUCGCGGACGCUCGGACGUCCGGCAACUGUCGGACGUCCGGACCCUAUGUGACUUAAAGUGCCCCCAACGGCUGGAUUUCACUCCCCACUAUAUAUACUCUUCUCCCACCUCGGGAAAGGGUGUUCAACACAGCUAAGACACAUCCAAGAACACCUUUCCUCUCACUCACUCUUGUCUACACCAAAUCCUAGAUCCCAAGAGCAUUUGUGAGUCCUUUUGAGUGUUGUUCCAAUCAAAAGAUAGAUCGUCUCCCUCUCCUCCUUCCCACCAAAGUGAUUCGUGAUUUGAGCAAGUUUUGAGCAAUCCCCGUGAUCUUGUUACUCUUGGAGGUUGGAGACUCCUAGGCGGUAGGAGUCUUCGGAGAGGAAUCAAACCAUUGUGAUUUCCCCCGGAAAGUUUGUGAAGGUUUGGAAGCCACCUCAAGGCUUACCACUAGUGGUUGAGAAACGCUUUCGUGGAGUUAUCUCAAAGGGAGAAUAGGGUGAGCCUUUGUGGCAUUGGUGUGCCUUCGUGGUAACAUCCGCCCCUCUAAUGGUGACGUAGCUUCCCUCCAAGGAAGUGAACAUCCGGAUACAUCCUUGUCUCUCUUGGAGUUUCGGUUAUUCCUAACCCUAACUCUCUACUUGUGUUAAUCCUUAUUACGUACUUGUAUUUGAUUAUUGUUUACCGCUUGUCUUACUUCACUCUAAAUAGCUUACUCCUUGUUGUAGCAAUUAUUAGGCCUACACUCAUAUUCCGCACUUUUGCCUAAAAUUGCUAAGUAAUUAUUAAAAUUUGGAUUUGUACCUAUUCACCCCCCCCCCCUCUAGGUCCAUCUCGAUCCUUUUCAACAAGGCUCGUGAUAUAUCAAGAUAAUGACAUAUCAAGAACAUGAGAGAGAGAGAGAGAAUAAACACAUAGCUACUAGUACAAACCCUCAGCCUCGAGGGUGGACUACUCCCUCCUCGUCAUGGCCUCCGCCGGGAUGAUGAAGAUGACUACCGGAGAUGAUUUCCCCUCUCUCGCACGGUACUGGAACGUCUCCAGAUUGGUUUUUCAUGUCUACAGAGGCCUGCGGCAGCGAAACUUCUCGUCUAGGGUUAUUUCUGGAGGUUUCUAUAUUUAUAGGAUUUUUGGGCGUUGGAAUCACGCCAAGAUGGGCCAGGAGGUUCCCACUAGAUACCAUGCCGCGCUAGGGGGCUCGCGUGCCCUGGUGUCUAAUGGGCACCAGGGGUCCCCCUCUGGUGGUUCUUUGCUCUAGUAUUCUCUUUUCCACCAAAAAAUCAUCAAAAAGUUUCGUCCAAUUCCGAUAACUUUUAUUUCUGCACACAAAACAACACCUCGGUAGUUCUGUUGAAAACAUCGUUAGUCCGGGUUAGUUCUAAAUAAAUCAUAUAAAGUGCAGCAAAACCAUAUAAAAGUAUUGUAAACAUAGGCAGACAUGCCAUGAAUACUUCAUAAAUUAUCGAUACGUUGGAGAUGUAUCACCGUCCCCAAGCUUAAUUACUACUCGUCCUCGAGUAGGUAAAUGAUAAAAGAAAUAAUUUAUGAAGUGUGAAUGCUAGCAUAGUGCAUAAGUUUGAUCAAUGAUAAUUUCAAUCACUUUUCCUAUCAUCAUAAUGCAACUCUUUCUCAUAAAACUCAUCAUGAUAAAGUAGCAACAAAUUCACAUGUUAUGGUUCAAACAAUGAACUCUCUUGAAACUUAACAACCUAUGUUCUUAGUCACCAAACAAUUGCAAUUCAACUUAUUCUCAACAAAGUCUAAGUAAGAGCUCCACAUACUCAAUCAUCAUAUAGCCUUCUAUGAUUGCUAGUACUCAAAGCAUAUUUUUAGAACAAAUGGCAUCCAUCAAACACAGAGAAAUAUAGGGGCUUAAUGCUUCGCCUCCCAACUCAUUUAUCAUAGAGAUAAUUGUCAACAAUAAUAAGUCAUGAUCAAAUAUAUUUGACUGGCCAUAUGUGCCUAGAUCUUUCCCCACCACAUGAUCCUUGCCAACUAGAGAAUAAUUGAGGUUGAAAUGAGAAUGCAUACUAUUAACUAUUGCAUAAAAGUAAAUAUUGGAAAGUAAAAGGUAGGCCCUUCGUAGAGGGAAGCAGAGGUUGUCAUGCGCUUUUUUGUUUUGUAUGCACAAUCCCUUAAUGCAAAAGAACAUCACGUUAUAUUGCCCCUUAUGAUAGCAACCUUUAUUAUGCAGUCUGUCACUUUUAUUACUUUGCCAUCAGAAGUUCAUACAAUGCUCAUUUUCUCUUGCACUAAAUGAUCAAACAUAUUUAGAAGCAAUUUUUAUUUCCUUUUUGCACCGAUGACAACUUACUUGAAGGAUUUUAUUUAAUCCAUAGGUAGGUAUGGUGGACACUCAUGGCAAGAAACUGGGUUUAAGGGCUUUGGGAUGCACAAGUAGUAUCUGUACUUAGUGCGAAUUUUUGGUUAGCAAAAGAUCCUAAGCAAACACCACAUGUUGGAGGAUCCAUAACAAUAUAACUUCUAUGCAAAUAUACACAACCAUAACUCAUUGCGUUGUCUUCCUUGUCCAACUUCAACUAAUUUGCCCAAGUUUGAAAAUAAUUAAUGGGUAUUCACAAUCAUAGAAGAUGUCCAAGAUAAUAUAUUUAUAUGUGAAAGUUAUCUUCCUUGUACCAAUCAAUCAUGAAUUGCUUGUAUGACCAAUAUUGUGACUGUCAAGCUUCAAAAGAUUUCACUUUCUAAACCCAAUGUGAAGCUACUACUAGGCAUGACUUGAACAUAUAAUUUCAACUUCAUGGUAUUCAACUCAUUCAACAAUUUACUCAUAGGAUAUAAGUGAAGCACAAGAGCAAACAAUCAAACUACUUCCAAAAGAUACAAGUGAAGAUCAAUGAGUAGUUAAACAAUCAAGUAGCUAUGUGAGGACUCUCUCUUAAUAAAGAUUUCCAGAUCUGAUAUUUUAUUUCAAACAACAAAUAAAACAAAAGGCACUCCAAGAAUAGCACAUAUCAUGUGGACAAAUAAAAACUUAGGCUCAACAUAGGCUAACCGAUAUUUGUUCCAUGAAGAGAGGUUGGAUGCGUAGCAUCCCCAAGCUUAGAUGCUUGAGACUUCUUGAAAUAUUUACUUGGGGAAGAGCAUACCCCCGGGUGGAAGAAGUUGCAUGAGAAGAAAAUUGCCUCAGAGGGACAGUUGAAAGACCUCGUAGCGGAACUUAUGAAAGACUUGGCUAAGCUCUACAUCGAGUGUGAGGAGCUCGUGAAGGAAUUAGUGGCUCGUGUGAAGGAACUUCAUGCGUAUAUGAAGGAUAGCAUCGACGCUCUCAAGCAAAAAACCUGCAACAUGGCCACAAUGCGUAAGAUGAUGGAGGAGAGUCAAGAGGAUAUGAAAGUCGUGGAGGCGAUGAAUAAGGGGAUUGGGGAACUCCGAUCCAAGCAAUCCAUCAAGAAUUAGAUAGGAGCGUCCCUGAUCGUUGUUUGUGUCUUCCUUCUUCUGCCACUUCCUUCUUCUUUUGCCCCUGUGUCUUUUGGGAGUUCCCACAUGUAGCAUUUUUUAUUAUCCUAAAUAUGUAAGACAAUUAUUAUCCUUUGCCGAUGCGGAUUUGUCGUUGUAUUAUUUUGUUCUUAAGUACAUGUAUACGAGUUGAAAAUAGGCGAAAAGUCAAGUUCUUAGCGAGGCACGAACAAAACAAUGCUUACAUUGAGUGGGGCAAUGGGAUCACAAGCAACUAGUCCCUUCGUCCAGGCACAUUAACCGCAUGAUAAACAGCGGGUCGGACACAGUUAAUUCAGAAGUUGGGAGCAAGGCGAGCGGAGGGUGGAGGUCAUAGUAUCACUUCCCGAUGAGCCUACACAGCAGACUACUCUCAUGCACCCCGUCGAGUCUGUGCGAUGGACAGAUAUCACGCGUCUCGUCGAGCCUGCGCGGCAAACAACUCUCAUGUUCUCCGCUGAGCGUGUGCGGCGGAAAGUUCGCACACGCCCUACCAUCAAACAGCUGCACGCAAGGAACACCCAUAUCAAGUAAAAAAAAGUUGGAUGUGUGGCACCAAAUGGUUAUCAGAACGCACACGAUUCACGUAAUGCAAUCUUUUGUGAUAAUAAUGUGGCAACUAUCUAUACUAAAAUGUCUAUGUUGCUUGUUAUUGUGUGAGCCUUCUCAAAUUGGAAAACAUACGGUACCAAGGCCUAUAGGUGUCAUGUCAUGACACCGGGGUAAGUUUCAUGAAUUUCAUAUGAGUUUUGUAUUUACAGGAAUUCAAAAAACAAGAUUCUCAAUGAUUGCGGCUGAGACACCAUGCCUGAAUAUUUGUACUUCAUCCACAUUCAUUGCAUGGGACCUAAGAAAGCACCCAGGGACACAAAAAUGAUUUUUCAACAAAUUAUGUUGCACUAGAGCAUGUGCUUCUAGUACAAGAUUUGGAUGACCCAUAUUAGAUCCCUAGAAAACUCAACUGAUUUAUAAAAAGGGCCAAAUGCCCCCUACAUAAUUCCAUAUUUCACCACGCCACCAAUACUAGUCUUUGUUGCAUAUAUAAAAAAUUCCAGUCAAGAGAAUACAUUGAAUGUAGUUUCACCCCAAAGGUGACAUGUUCCCUAUAGAAAUCACAAGUCUUCUUGCAUAAGCCUUGGCUUGUAAGAUGCAUGUCCCAAUACUUGUCUCAAAUUGAUCAUAAAAAUUAGCACGCCGUAUAUGUGUCGUGGCGUAACACUAGGUAAGUUUCAUGAAUUUCAAACGAGUUUUGGAUUUUCGAGGUUUAACAACCAAGAUUCUCAAUGUUUGCGGCCUAUUCACGAUGCCAAGAUGUUUGUAAAUCAUUCACAUCCAGUGCAUGGGAUCUAAAUAGGGACCCAAUGACACAAAAAAUGUUUUUCAACACAUUUUGGUGCCCUCGAGCAUGUGCUUGUAGUUCAAAUUUGAGUUUUGCACAUUAAGUGCCUAAAAAACUCAAUGUCAUUUUCGCCCACAAAUGUGACAUGUUCCCUAUCGAAAUGAUGAGGCUUAUCAUGGGAAGCUCCAAUUUGUAAGAGAUUUGUCCCAAAAUAUGUCCCACGUUGGUCAAAAAAUUUAGCACAACGUACAUGUGGUGUGUCAAGACACUUGGGUAAGUUUCAUGAAUUUCAGACGAGUUUUGGAUUUGUGGGGAUAUAAAAACCCGAAUCCUCAAUGUUUGGAGCCUAGUCACAAUGUCGAGAUGGUCGUAAUCCAUUCACAUUCAUUGCAUGGGACGUAAACAGGGACCCAAGGACACAAAAACGAUUUUCCAACCCAUUUUGGUGUCGUGGAGCAUGUACUUGUAGUUCAAAUUUCAAUUAUGCCCAUUAAUUGUCUAGCAAACUCAAUUAACGUAUAAAGGGGCCAAACGAGCCGUGAAUGAUUACACAUUUUAGCACUGCACUUGUAUUAGUCGAUGUUGCAUGUAGAGAAAAAAAUUAAGAAAUUAAGAGGCGCUGAAUGUCGUUCCGCCUACACAGGUGACAAUUUCCCUACUGAAACCAUGAUGCUUCUUGAGAGAAGCUCUCGUGUGCAAGAGACUUGUCCCAAAUUGGUCAAAAAUAUACCAUGUCAUAUAAGUGUCGUGUCAUGACAUCGGGGUAAGUUUCAUGAAUUUCACACGAGUUUUGGAUUUUGGGGGAUUUAAAAGUCAAUUUUCUCAAUGUUUGCGACCUGGUCACAACGCCGAGAUGUUUGCAAUCCAUUCACAUUCAUUGCACGAGACCUAAAUAGGGACCCAAGGACACAAAUAUGAUUUUUAACCCAUUUUGGUGACAUGGAGCUUGUGCUUUUAGUUCAAAUUUAAAUUAUGCACGUUGAUGACCCACAAGUAUAGGGGAUCAAUCGUAGUCCUUUCGAUAAUUAAGAGUGUCGAACCCAACGAGGAGCAGAAGGAUCUGACAAGUGGUUUCAGCAAGGAAAUAUCUGCAAGCACUGAAAUUAUUGGUAACAAGUGAUUGUGUGGUGAGAUGAUUCGUAGCAAGCAACAAGUAACAAAAGUAGCAACGAUGCAGCAAAGUGGCCCAAUCCCUUUUGUAGCAAGGGACAAGCCUGGCAAAGUCUUAUAGGAGGAAAAACGCUCCCGAGGACACACGGGAAUUUCUGUCAUGCUAGUUUCAUCAUGUUCAUAUGAUUCGCGUUCGUUACUUUGAUAGUUUGAUAUGUGGGUGGACCAACGCUUGGGUACUUCCCUUACUUGGACAAGCAUCCCACUUAUGAUUAACCCCUCUCGCAAGCAUCCACAACUACGGAAGAAGAAUUAAGACAAAGUCUAACCAUAGCAUUAAACUAGUGGAUCCAAAUCAGCCCCUUACGAAGCAACACAUAAACUAGGGUUUAAGCUUCUGUCACUCUAGCAACCCCAUCAUCUACUUACUACUUCCCAAUGCCUUCCUCUAGGCCCAAAUAAUGGUGAAGUGUUAUGUAGUCGACGUUCACAUAACACCACUAGAGGAAAAACAACUUACAACACAUCAAAAUAUCGAACAAAUACCAAAUUCACAUGACUACUAUUAGCAAGACUUAUCCCAUGUCCUCGGGAACAAAAGUAACCACUCACAAAGCAUAAUCAUAUUCAUGACCAGAGAGGUAAUGAGUAGCAUCAAGGAUCUGAACACAAACUCUUCCACCAAAUAAUCCAACUAGCAUCAACUACAAAGAGUAAUCAACACUACUGGCAACCUUACAAGUACCAAUCGGAGUCGCGAGACGGAGAUUGGUUACAAGUGAUGAACUAGGGUUUGGAGAUGAGAUGAUGCUGAUGAAGAUAUUGAUGGUGAUGAGUCCCCUCCAAUGAGAGGAGUGUUGGUGAUGACGAUGGCGACGAUUUCCCCCUCCGAGAGGGAAGUUUCCCAGGCACGAUCGUCCUGCCGGAGCUCUAGAUUGGUUCUGCUCAAGUUCCGCCUCGUGGCGGCGGCGAAUCCACGAAAAAGCUCCUCGCUGAUUUUUUUUUCUGGACGAAACCCUUCAUAUAGCAGAAGAGGGGGGCCAGUGGGCCAGCAGGCUGCCCACAAGCCCCCUUGGAGCGGCCUCGGGGGUGGCAGCGCCGUGCAGGCUUGUGGCCACCUACUAGCGCCCCUCUGGCGCUUCUUCAGCCUAGUAUUUUUUAUAAAUACGGAAAAAAAAUCCUCGUUGAUUUUACGGUGUUUGGAGUUGCGCAGAAUAGGUAUCUCAACUUUGCUCCUCUUUCAGGCCAGAAUUCCAGCUGCAUGCAUUCUCCCUCUUCAUGUAAACCUUGCAAAAUAAGGGAGAAAAGGCAUAAGUAUUGUACCGUCAAGUGAAAUAACAGCCCAAGAAGCGAUAAUACUAACAUGAAAACAUGAUGCAAAAUGGACGUAUCAACUCCCCCAAGCUUAGACCUCGCUUGUCCCCAAGCGAAAGCCUAGCUCAAUAAAUAUGUCCACAUGUUUAGGCAGAGAGGUCUCGACAAAACAAGAUACGAGCAUGCAUGCAUCAUGAUCAUGAUCAUAACAGCCAUACCAACAUAUAAUCUCUCAUGCUAAAGUGAUAAUUCCUUCACAAAGUAAAGCAUGGAUCAAGAACCUUACCGAGAAGUAACAACCGACAACCUUUAGUCAUUGAAGCAAUUGCAAUUUAUCACAACAUCAGAAAGAGUCAAAUAAGAGCUUGUAAAGCAAAUACACAUACUCAAUCAUUCUUUCGUUCUCUACAAUUGCUACAACGCACGUUGUACUCAUGAGAUCAAAGUUUCAGCUGGACACAGAGAAAGAUAGGGGCUUACACUUUUGCCUCCAAACUGCUUACCUCAAGGGUAACUUCAACAAUAAUAAUUCAUGAAUACUUACUUCCAAGUUGACAUAUGAAUAUAGAUCUUUCCCAAGCAUAUGAUGGUAGCCAAGAUAAAGGCGAAAUAAGGAAUUGGUGAAGAUCACCGUGACUCUUUCAAGGGAAAAAAGUAAAGGUACAAGAUAGGCCCUUCGUAGAGGGAAGCAGAGGUUGUCAUGCGCUUUUGAGGUUUGGAUGUGUGUCCUCUUAGUGCGGAGGAACGUCAUUUUAUAUUGCCUCCUGUGAUAAAGAACUUUAUUAUGCAGUUUGUCGCUUUUAUGUCUUCCUCGUCACAGGUUCGUAUGAAGCUUAUUUUCCACACACUAAUAGAUCAUGCAUAUUAGAGAGCAAUUUUUAUUGCUUGCACCGAUGACAACUUACUUGAGGGAUCUUAUUCAAUCCAUAGGUAGGUAUGGUGGACUCUCAUGGCAAAUCUGGGUUGAAGGUUUAUGGAUGCACAAGUAGUAUCUCUACUUGGUGCCGGAGUUUUGGAUAAUAUGAGGUGGAAGAAAUCGUCACAUGCUAAGGGAUCUCUAAUCAUAUAACAUUGUUCGGAGUCAAGCAAACACAAUUCAUUAUGUUGUCUUCCUUGUCCAACAUCUACUUGUAGGCAUGCAAUAGUUUAGUGAGUGUUCACAAUCAUAGAUGGUGUGAGAGAUGAUAUAUUUAUAUGUGAACCUAUCCUUCUUUAUCACUUCCUAUUAAUUGCAACAAUGACCAAGGUCUACGUUUGUCUACCCUCAACAUGUUUCAAUCAUCAUUCUUUUUAUAUGUGAAGCCAUCACUUCCCAUAAGAUCAUUACAUGAUCUUUCAUGCUUUUGUUCUUUUCUCACUCUUUUGAUCAUGGCAAGAGGCAUAUCCCUUCAACUAAGACACUCUUUAUUAUAUGGCUCACGAGCUCGAAUACAUCGGGGGUGACACAAAGCAAAACUCAAGACUAAAACACUAAGACUUUUAAACUACUAGAGAAAAAGAAAGAAAACUGAAAAGGAACAAACUAAAACAAAGGUAAAGGCAAAAGAUGUGAUGGUGAUACGAUACCGGGGCAACUCCCCCAAGCUUGGCACCAGCCAAGGGGAUUGCCCAUACCCACGCUCAGUUAUAUUCCUUUGGUGAUGAUGGUGGUGGAGUUGUUGCAACCUUUGAUUCCAAGAGGGCCAUCAAUCUUUGAUUUAUACCUUGGAGAUCUGUGAUAUAUUUCUCCAACAAAACAACUUCACGAGUGAGAUAAGUAUUGCGAGCAAGAGUUGUUUCACAAAACCUCAAGAGUUCAAUAAAGGAUGGAGACAGUAGGUCGAGGUAGGGUUGGAGGAAAUCCACUUCUUCAACUUCUUCCUUGUUGAGCACAGAUUGCACUUCAUCCCACGCGUGAUCUUUCUCCUUAUCUUUCUCCUUGGUUUCUUUAGGUAACCUCUCCUUAGCCUCCAUGACCUCCAUCCUUUUCAGAUCAGCAUGUAUUUCUCCAUAGACUUGAGGGAGAUUGUUCUCCCCCACAAAUUCCUGGGACGACAUCUUGUCCUAAAUCUGCGGCAGAAAACAGGCUCGAAACGAAAAACAGAGGAAAUCUGCGUGAUACGAGGGUCAGACCAAACGGGAGAGUAUAUAUUGAAUUUUUUCCAGACCAGAAGGAGUACUCCGCACGAAAACGGGGUCCGGGAGGCGCACGAGGUGGCCACAAGCCCUCCCGGCGCGGCCAGGGGGUGGGCCCGCGCCGGGCAGGCUUGUCGCCUCCUCGCGCACUUCCCGAACUAUUUCCAAUUUUUGUAUUUUUUCAAAUAUUCCAAAACGGAGAAAAUUUUGGACUCUCUUUUCAUACCGAAUCACAUACCUCUUCGUUUUCGGAGUCUCAAACAAACUGAUAAAUGUCCCGUAGGUAUUCUUCCGGAGUUAUGGUAUUGAUGAUAUUGCUUUCAACAUUUAUGGGAGUACCUGAGAUAUAAUGCUUGAUUCUCUGCUCAUUUACAACUCUCGGACAAUUACCUUCCGUGUUGUUGAUCUUGAUAGCACCGGAGCGAUAUACUUCCUCAACAACAUAGGGACCNNNNNNNNNNNNNNNNNNNNNNNNNNNNNNNNNNNNNNNNNNNNNNNNNNNNNNNNNNNNNNNNNNNNNNNNNNNNNNNNNNNNNNNNNNNNNNNNNNNNUUCCCAUUUAGAGAGAAGCUUGCCUACAAAGAAUCUUAAACGAGAGUUAUAUAGCAAGACAUAAUCACCUACAUUGAACUAACGCUUUUGUAUCCUCUUAUCAUGCCACCUCUUAACCUUCUCUUUGAACAACUUGGCAUUCUCAUAUGCCUGAGAUCUCCAUUCAUCAAGCGAGUUAAUAUCAAAUAACCUCUACUCACCGGCAAGUUUGAAAUCAAAGUUGAGCUCUUUGAUUGCCCAAUAAGCUUUAUGCUCUAGCUCAAGAGGUAAAUGACAUGCUUUACCGUACACCAUUUUGUACGGAGACAUGCCCAUGGGAUUCUUAUACGCAGUCCUAUAAGCCCACAGUGCAUCAUCGAGCUUCUUAGACCAAUUCUUUCUAGACCUGUUGGUAGUCUUUUGCAGAAUCAGGUUAAUCUCUCUAUUGCUUAGCUCUACUUGACCAGUGGACUAGGGGUGAUAGGGAGAUGCAAUUCUAUGGUUGACAUCGUACUUAGCAAGCGUUUUACGGAAAGCACCAUGAAUGAAAUGUGAACCACCAUCGGUCAUUAGAUAUCUAGGGACUCCAAAUCUAGGGAAAAUAACUUCUUUAAGCAUCCUGAUAGAAGUGUUGUGAUCAGCACUACUAGUGGGGAUAGCUUCUACCCACUUAGUGACGUAAUCAACAACAACUAGGAUGUGAGUAUACCCGUUGGAUUUUGGAAAAGGUCUUAUAUAAUCAAAGCCCCAAACAUCAAAUGGUUCAAUGACAAGUGAAUAGUUCAUAGGCAUUUCCUGACGUUUACCGAUAUUGCCUACUCUUUGACAUUCGUCACAAGACAAGACAAACUUACGCGCAUCCUUAAAGAGAGUGGGCCAAUAGAAACCUGAUUGGAAUACCUUGCGUGCAGUUCUAUCUCCCGCAUGGUGUCCUCCAUAGGCCUUGGAGUGACACUUCUGUAGGAUCUGUCCCUGUUCAUGUUCAGGUACACAACGUCUAAUAACACCAUCUACUCCUACCUUAUAAAGGUGAGGAUCAUUCCAAAAGUAAUGUCUCAAGUCAAAGAAGAAUUUCUUCUUUUGCUGGUAUGUGAAACUAGGUGGUAUAUAUAUUUGGCAACGAUAUAGUUUGCAUAAUCAACAUACCACGGUGCACUACGUGAAGCAUUGAUGACAUUCAAUUGCUUAUCGGGAAAGCUAUCAUCAAUAGGUUGUGGGUCAUCAAGAACGUUCUCCAACCUAUACAAGUUAUCUGCUACGGGGUUAUCAGCACCCUUUCUGUCGACAACGUGCAAAUCAAACUCUUGUAGCAAGAGAACCUAUCUGAUAAGUCUAGGUUUAGCGUCCUUCUUCUCCAUGAGGUACUUAAUGGCAGCGUGAUCAGUGUGAAUAGUGACUUUGGAAUCAACUAUGUAAGACCUGAACUUUUCACAUGCAAACACGACUGCUAAAAACUCCUUCUCCGUAGUAGCAUAGUUUCUUUGGGCACAGUCUAGAGUUUUACUAGCAUAGUGAAUAACAUUCAACUUCUUGUCAACUCUUUGCCCUAGAAUAGCACCAACAACAUAAUCACUAGCAUCACACAUGAUCUCAAAAGGCAAGCUCCAAUCAGCUGGUUGAACAAUAGGUGCAGUUAUCAAAGCCCUCUUAAGUAUUUCGAAGGCUUCCUCACAAUCGUCGUCAAAGAUAAAAGGAAUAUCCUUUUGCAAGAGAUUGGUAAGAGGCCUAGAAAUCUUACAGAAGUCUUUAAUGAACCUUCUAUAGAAGCCAGCAUGACCAAGGAAACUUCUUAUACCUUUGAUAUAUGUGGGGUAUGGCAUUUUCUCGAUUGCAUCAACCUUAGCCUUAUCGACUUCAAUACCUCUUUCAGAAAUUUUAUGUCCUAAGACGAUGCCUUCAUUAACCAUAAAGUGGCACUUCUCCCAAUUCAAGACAAGAUUGGUGUCUUUACAUCUCUGCAAGACUGGAUCAAGGUUGCUGAGGCAAUCAUCAAAGGAAGACCCGUAAACGGAGAAGUCAUCCAUGAAAACCUCAACAAUCUUUUCACAAAAGUCAGAGAAUAUAGCCAUCAUACAUCUUUGAAAGGUGGCAGGUGCAUUACAUAAGCCAAAAGGCAUACGUCUAUAAGCAAAGGUACCGAAAGGGCAAGUGAAAGUGGUCUUCUCCUGAUCAGAUUGCGCAACUGGUAUUUUGGAGAAACCAUAAUAACCGUCUAGAAAGUAGAAGUGUGUGUGUUUAGACAGCCUUUAUAGCAUUUGGUCGAUAAAAGGUAAAGGGUAAUGAUCUUUCCUAGUGGCUUUAUUCAAUUUCCUAAAAUCGAUCACCAUCCUAUAGCCAGUAAUAAUCCUCUGUGGGAUUAAUUCAUGCUUAUCAUUAGGGACAACGGUAAUGCCUCCCUUCUUAGGGACGCAAUGCACCGGACUCACCCAAUCACUAUGAGCAACAGGAUAGAUGAUACCUACUUCCAGGAGCUUUAGUAUUUCUUUUCUCACUACUUCUUUCAUCUUAGGAUUUAAUCUCCUUUGAUGAUCAGCAACUGGUUUGAAAUGAGGAUCAAUUUUAAUCUUGUGCUAGCAUAGAAUAGGACUAAUGCCCUUAAGAUCAUCUAGAGUAUAUCCAAUAGCAGCAUGGUGCUUCCUCAGAUUUUUUAGUAACUUCUUUUCUUUAUGCUAUGAGAGGCUAGCACUAAUAAUAACAAGAUAUAUCUCUUUUUCAUCAAGAUAAGCAUACUUAAGAGUAUCACGCAACUGUUUAAGCUCGAACACAGGAUCAGCCUUUGGUGGGGGUGGAUACCCAAGCAGUUCAACAGGCAGAUUAUUCUUAAGGAUAGGAUAUUGUUCUAAGACAACUCUAUCUAUCUCAUCCCUUUCAUCCAUAUGCAUAUCAUUUUCAUGCUCAAGCAAGUAUUGCUCUAAGGGAUCAGUAGGAGGCACGGCAUUAGAAUCUAAGGCAAUAGUUUCAUCCUUACUAGGCAACUCCUUUUCAUGAGGUUGUCUACCAAACUUAGAGAAAUUGAACUCAUGUGACACACCUUCAAAGCCAACAGUGACAGUUUGCUUCUCACAAUCAAUAUGAGCAUUGACAGUAUUGAGGAAGGGUCUGCCAAAUAUGAUGGGACAAAAGCUAUCUCGUGCAGUAGCAAGAACGAGGAAAUCAGCAGGAUACUUCGUUUUACCACACAAGACUUCAACAUCCCUAACAAUUCCAACAGGGCAGAUAGUAUCUCUAUUGGCAAGCUGAAUAGUGACAUCAAUAGGUUCUAUCUCAACAGGUGCAAUCUCGUCUUUGAUUUCAUCAUAUAAGGAUUGAGGUAUUGGACUAACACUAGCACCCACGUCACAUAAGCCAUGAUAACAAUGAUCUGCUAUCUUAACAGAAACAACAGGCAUGCCAACAACAAGCCUAUGUUUGUCUCUAGCGUGAGGUUUAGCAAUUCUAGCAGCAUCUUCACAGAAGUGCAUAUUAUGUUCAUCAACAUCGUCGUACAGAAGAUCUUUGAUGAUAGCAAUACUAGGUUCAACUCUAAUUUGCUCAGGGGGUGUAGGUGUUCUAAUAUAGCCUCUACGUAUAACAGUUGAAGCUUUAGAAUGAUCCUUUAUCCUAACAGGGAAAGGUGGUUUCUCAAUGUAAGCACUGGGAACAAUAGGAUCAUUAUAGGCAAUGACUUUCUCUUCAACUGGAAUGGGUUUAACUACAUUAACUUCUAAAGGAGGAUGAUAUUUAAACCACUUCUCUUUGGGGAGAUCAAUAUGAGAAGCAAAGGAUUCACACAGUGAAUCUACUAUCGCAGAGUCAAGUCCAUACUUAGCGCUAAAGUCACAGAAAGUAUUUGUCUCAACAAAGUAUUUAACGCAAUCAAACGUGAAAUUCAUACCUGACUCCUUACCUUCUUCAAGCUCCCAAUCUUUAGAGUUGCGUUUAAUUCGCUCCAAUAAAUUACAUUUGAAGUCAAUAUCUCUCUUCAUAAAAGAACCGGUACAAGAAGUGUCAAGCAUGAUGCGAUCAUCAUGAGAAAGCCGAGCAUAGAAGUUCUGAAUGAUAAUUUCUCUCGAGAGCUCAUGAUUGGGGCAUGAAUAUAGCAUUGAUUUAAGCCUCCCCCAAGCUUGAGCGAUGCUUUCUCUGUCACGAGGCCAAAAAUUAUAAAUAUAAUUCCGAUCACGAUGUACUAAAUGCAUAGGAUAAAACUUUUGAUGAAAUUCCAAUUUCAACCGAUUGUAGCCCCAUGAUCCAAUAUCAUCACAUAGCCUAUACCAUGCCAACAUCUUAUCCUUCAAAGAUAAAGGAAAGACCUUCUUCUUGACCUCAUCCUCAGGCAAACCUGCAAGCUUAAAUAAACCACAAACUUCAUCUACAUAGAUUAGAUGCAAGUCUCGAUGUGCUGUUCCAUCUCCUGUAAAAGGAUUAGCCAGCAGUUUCUCAAGCAUACCCGAAGGAAAUCCAAAGCAAAUAUUUUCAGUAGGUGCAGCAGGUUGAGGAGCAACUAUUUGUGCUUCCGUUCGAGGUGAAGAUACCCCGAACAAGCCCCUCAAAGGAUUAGUAUCCAUAGUGACAAGUGACAAUAAAUUUCAGCACACUAUAUGAAUGUUUCCUUACCAAGUUCCACUUAGCAAAGGCGCUUCACUCCCCGGCAACGGCGCCAGAAAAGAGUCUUGAUGACCCACAAGUAUAGGGUAUCAAUCGUAGUCCUUUCGAUAAGUAAGAGUGUCGAACCCAACGAGGAGCAAAAGGAUCUGACAAGUGGUUUUCAGCAAGGAAAUAUCUCCAAGCACUGAAAUUAUCGGUACCAAGUGAUCGUGUGGUGAGAUGAUUCGUAGCAAGCAACAAGUAACAAAAGUAGCAACGGUGCAGCAAAGUGNUUUGAUAUGUGGGUGGACCAACGCUUGGGUACUGCCCUUACUUGGACAAGUAUCCCACUUAUGAUUAACCCCUCUCGCAAGCAUCCGCAACUAUGAAAGAAGAAUUAAGACAAAGUCUAACCAUAGCAUUAAACUAGUGGAUCCAAAUCAGCCCCUUACGAAGCAACGCAUAAACUAGGGUNNNNNNNNNNNNNNNNNNNNNNNNNNNNNNNNNNNNNNNNNNNNNNNNNNNNNNNNNNNNNNNNNNNNNNNNNNNNNNNNNNNNNNNNNNNNNNNNNNNNNNNNNNNNNNNNNNNNNNNNNNNNNNNNNNAGCUUCUGUCACUCUAGAAACCCAUCAUCUACUUACUACUUCCCAAUGCCUUCCUCUAGGCUCAAAUAAUGGUGAAGUGUUAUGUAGUCGGCGUUCACAUAACACCACUAGAGGAAAAACAACAUACAACACAUCAAAAUAUCGAACGAAUACCAAAUUCACAUGACUACUAUUAGCAUGAGUUAUCCCAUGUCCUCAGGAACAAAAGUAACUACUCACAAAGCAUAAUCAUAUUCAUGACCAGAGAGGUAAUGAGUAGCAUCAAGGAUCUGAACAUAAACUCUUCCACCAAAUAAUCCAACUAGCAUCAACUACAAAGAGUAAUCAACACUACUAGCAACCUUACAAGUACCAAUCGGAGUCGCGAGACGGAGAUUGGUUACAAGUGAUGAACUAGGGUUUGGAGAUGAGAUGGUGAUGAGUCCCCUCCGAUGAGAGGAGUGUUGGUGAUGACGAUGGCGAUGAUUUCCCCCUCCGGGAGGGAAGUUUUCCCGGCAGGAUCGUCCUGCCGGAGCUCUAGAUUGGUUCUACUCAAGUUCCGCCUCGUAGCGGCGGUGAAUACACGAAAAAGCUCCUCGCUGAUUUUUUUUCCCUGGACGAAUCCACGAAUCAAUGUGACUUAGUGUAAGUCACGGGAUCUUGUAUUACAGAACGAGUAAAGAGACUUACCGGUAAACCAGAUUGAAAUAGGUAUGCCGAUACUAACGAUCGAAUCUCGGGCAAGUAACAUACCGAAGGACAAAGGGAAUGACAUACGUGGUUAUAUGAAUGCUUGGCACUGAGGUUCAAUCGAUAAGAUCUUCGUAGAAUAUGUAGGAUCCAAUAUGGGCAUCCAGGUCCCGCUAUUGGAUAUUGACCAAGGAGUCCCUCGGGUCAUGUCUACAUAGUUCUCGAACCCGCGGGGUCUGCACUCUUAAGGUUCGACGUUGUUUUAUGCGUAUUUGUGUUAUAUGGUUGGUUACCGAAUGUUGUUCGGAGUCCCGAAUGAGAUCACGGACGUCACGAGGGUUUCCGGAAUGGUCCGGAGACAAAGAUUGAUAUAUAGGAUGACCUCAUUUGAUUACUGGAAAGUUUUCGGCAUUACCGGGAAUGUACCGGGAGUGACGAAUGGGUUCCGGAUGUUCACCGGGGGGCAGCCCACUCGGGGGAAGCCCAUGGACCUUAGGGGUGCCGCACCAGCCCUUAGUGGGCUGGCGGGACAGCCCAAGCGGCCCUAUGCGCAGGAGAAGAAAAAAAUCAAAGGAAAAAGAAAAAAAGGGAAGUGGGAAGGAAGGGAAGGACUCCACCUUCCAAUCCUAGUUGGACUAGGAUUGGAGGAGGAUUCCUCCCCCCCUUGCUUCGGCCGACCCCUUGGGGCUCUCUUGAGCCUCAAGGCAAGGCCCUCCCCCUCCCUCCUAUAUAUACUGAGGUAUUAGGGCUGAUUUGAGACAACUUUGCCACGGCAGCCCGAUCACAUACCUCAACGGUUUUUCCUCUAGAUCGUAUUUGUGCGAAGCUCGGGCGGAGCCCUGCUGAGAUAGAUCACCACCAACCUCCGGAGUGCCGUCACGCUGCUGGAGAACUCAUCUACCUCUCCGUCUCUCUUGCUGGAUCAAGAAGGCCAAGCUCAUCGUCGAGCUGUACGUGUGCUGAACGCGGAGGUGCCGUCCGUUCGGCACUAGAUCGGAGCGGAUCGUGGGACGGAUCGCGGGACGGUUCGUGGGACAGUUCGCGGGGCGGAUCGAGGGCCAUGAGGACGUUCCACUACAUCAACCGUGUUUCUUAGCGCUUCCUGCUGUGCGAUCUACAAGGGUACGUAGAUCCAAACCCCCUCUCAUAGAUGGACAUCACCAUGAUAGGUCUUCAUGCGCGUAGGAAAUUUUUUAUUUCCCAUGCGACGUUCCCCAACAGUGGUAUCAGAGCUUGGUUCAUGCGUAAAUGUUAUCUCGAGUAGAACACAAAAGUUUUUGUGGGCGGUGAUGUGCGAUUUGCUGCCCUCCUUAGUCUUUUCUUGAUUAUGCGGUAUUGUUGGAUCGAAGCGGCUCGGACCGACAUUACUCGUACGCUUACGAGAGACUGGUUUCGUCGCUACGAGCAACCCCGUUGCUCAAAGAUGACCGGCGAGUGUCGGUUUCUCCAACUUUAGUUGAAUCGGAUUUGACCAAGGAGGUCCUUGGAGAGAGGUUAAAUAGCAAUUCAUACAUCUCCGUUGUGGUGUUUGCGUAAGUAAGAUGCGAUCCUACUAGAUACCCAUGGCAACCGCGUAAAACAUGCAACAACAAUUAGAGGACGUCUGACUUGUUUUUGCAGGGUAUGCUUGUGAUGUGAUAUGGCCAACGACGUGAUGUGAUAUAUUGGAUGUAUGAGAUGAUCAUGUUGUAAUAGUUAAUAUCGACUUGCACGUCGAUGGUACGGCAACCGGCAGGAGCCAUAGGGUUGUCUUUAAACUAACGUUUGUGUUUGCAGAUGCGUUUACUAUAUUGCUAGGAAGUAGCUUUAGUAGUAAUGGCAUAAGUAGCACGACAACCCCGAUGGCGACACGUUGAUGGAGAUCAUGGUGUGGAGCUGGUGACAAGAAGAUUGUGUCGGUGCUUUGGUGAUGGAGAUCAAGAAGCACAUGAUGAUGGCCAUAUCAUGUCACUUAUGAAUUGCAUGUGAUGUUAAUCCUUUUAUGCACCUUAUUUUGCUUAGAACAACGGUAGCAUAAUGAGGUGAUCUCUCACUAAAAUUUCAAGACGAAAUUGUGUUCUCCCCGACUGUGCACCGUUGCUACAGUUCAUCGUUUCGAGACACCACGUGAUGAUCGGGUGUGAUAGACUCAACGUUCACAUACAACGGGUGCAAAACAGUUGCACACGCGGAACACUCGGGUUAAACUUGAGGAGCCUAGCAUGUGCAGACAUGGCCUUGGAACACAAGAGACCGAAAGGUCGAGCAUGAAUCAUAUAGUUGAUAUGAUUAGCAUAGAGAUGCUUACCACUGAAACUAUUCUCGACUCACGUGAUGAUCGGACUUGAGAUAGUGAAUUUGGAUCAUGUACCACUCAAAUGACUAGAGAGAUGUACUUUUUGAGUGGGAAUUCUUAAGUAAUAUGAUUAAUUGAACUAAUUAUCAUGAACAUAGUCUAAUGGUCUUUGCGAAUUAAGAUGUAGCUUGCGCUAUAGCUCUACUGUUUUUAUAUGUUCCUAGAGAAAAUUUAGUUGAAAGUUCAUAGUAUCAACUUUGCGGACUUAGUCCGUAAAACUGAGGAUUGUCCUCAUUGCUGCGUAGAAGGCUUAUGUCCUUAAUGCACCACUCGGUGUGUUGCACCUCAAGCGUCGUCUCUGGAUGUUGCGAACAUCUGACAUACACAUUUUUGAUGACUACGUGAUAGUUCAGUGCGCAAUACUUAAUGGCUUAGAAGCAAGGCGCCGAAGACAUUUUGAAAACGUUGCAGAACAUAAGAGAUGUUCAAGGAGAUGAAAUUGAGAUUUCAUGCUCAUGCCCUUGUUGAGAGAUAUAAGACCUCCGACAAGAUUCUUUGCCUACAAAGUAAAGGAGAAAAGCUCAAAAUCGUUGAGCAUGUUCUCAGAUUGUCUGAGUACAACGAUCGCUUGAAUCAAGUGGGAGUUAAUCUUCCAGAUAAGAUAGUGAUGGUUCUCCAAAGUCACUGCCACUAAGCUGCUAGAGCUUCGUGAUGAACUAUAACAUAUCAAGGAUAGAUACAAUGAUCCUUGAGCGAUUCGCGAUGUUUGACACUGCGAAAGUAGAAAUCAAUAAGGAGCAUCAAUAGUUGAUGGUUAGUAAAACCACUAAGUUUCAAGAAAGGCAAGGGCUAGAAGGGAUACUUCGUGAAACGGCAAAACAGUUGCUGCACUAAUGAAGAGACCCAAGAUUAAACCCAAACCCGAGACUAAGUGCUUUUGUUAUGAGGGGAACGGUCACUGAGGCAGAGCUACCCUAGAUGCUUGGUAGAUAAGAAGGCUGGCAAAGUCGACAGAAGUAUAUUUGAUAUACAUGAUGUUGAUGUGUACUUUACUAGUACUCCUAGUAGCGCGAGGGUAUUGGAUACCGGUUCGGUUACUAAGUGAUUAGUAACACGAAAUGAAAGCUACGGAAUAAACGGAGACUAGCUAAAAGCGAGGUGACGAUACGUGUUGGAAGUGUUUCCAAGGUUGAUAUGAUCAAAUGUCGCACGCUCCCUCUACCAUCGGGAUUUGUGUUAAACCUAAAUAAUUGUUAUUUGGUGCUUGCGUUAAGCAUGAACAUGAUUGGAUCAUGUUUAUUGCAAUACGAUUAUUCAUUUAAAAAGAAUAAUGGUUACUCUAUUUUCUUGAAUAAACACCUUCAAUGGUUUAUUAAAUCUCGAUCGUAGUGUUACACAUGUUCAUGAUAUUGGUGCCAAAAGAUACAAGGUAAUGAUGAUAGUACCACUUACUUGUGGCACUGCCGCUUGAGUCGUGUUGGUAUAAAUUGCAUGAAGAGGCUCUGUUCUGAUGGAUCUUUAUACUCACUUGAUUUUGAAUCACUUGUGACACGAAAAUCAUACCACAUGAGCAAGGCCUUGUUUUCAUUGAGAUGAGACAAGAUAGUAACUUGUUGGAAGUAAUACAUUUUGAUGUAUGAAGUCCAAUGGGUGUUGAGGCACACAGUGGAUAUCAUUAUGUUCUUACUUCAAUGACGAUUUGAGUAGAUACAUGAGUAUUUACUUAAUGAAUCACAAGUCUGAAAUAUUGAAAAAGUUCAAUUCUGUUUCAGAGUGAAGUUCGUCGUAACAAGAGGAUAAACUAUCUACGAUAUGAUCAUAGAGAUGAAUAUCUGAGUUGCGAGUUUUGGUACACAGUUAAGACAAUGUGGAAGUUGUUUUGCAGUUCAUGCCACCUGGAACACCAUAGUCAGAUGAUGUGUCCAAAUGUCAUAGCUAUGCCAUAUUUGAUAUGGUGCAUACUAUGAUGUCUCUUAUCGAAUUACCACUAUCGUUUAUGGGUUAUACAUUAGAGACAACCGCAUUCACUUUAAAUAGGGCACCGCGUAUUUCCGCUGAGAUGACACAGUAUAGACUAUGGUUUGGAGAAACCUAAGUUGUCGUUUCUUGAAAAUUUGGGGUUGCGAUGCUUAUGUGAAAAGGUUUUAGUCUGAUAAGCUCGAACCCAAAGCGGAUAAAUGCAUCUUCAUAGGAUAUCCAAAAUAAUUGGAUAUAUCUCCUAUCUCAAAUCCGGAAGCAAAGUGUUUGUUUCUAGAAACGGAUCCUUUCUCGAGGAAAGGUUUCUCUCGAGAGAAUUGAGUGGGAGAGUGGUGGAACUUGAUGAGGUUAUUGAACCGUCACUUCAACCAGUGUGUAGCAGGGCGCAGGAAGUUGUUCCUGUGGCGCCUACACCAAUUGAAGUGGAAGCUGAUGAUAGUGAUCAUUACAGCUUCGGAUCAAGUUACUACAAACCUCGUAGGUCGACAAAGGUCGCUUACUACUACAGAGUGGUACGGUAACCCUGUCUUGGAGGUCAUGUUGUUGAGCAACAAUGAACCUACGAGUUAUGGAGAAGCAAUGGUGGGCCCGGAUUCCGACAAAUGGCUGGAGGCCAUGAAAUCCGAGAGAGGAUCCAUGUAUAAAACAAAGUGUAGACUUUGGAAGAACUACUUGAUGGUAGUAAGACUAUUAAGAAAGGAUGGAUCUUUAAAAGGAAGACAAACGAUGAUGGUGAUAAGUCACUAUUAAGAAAAGCUCGACUUGUCACAAAGAUGUUUUCGACAAGAUCAAAGAGUUGACUAUGAUGUGACUUUCUCACUCGUAGCGAUGCUAAAAGUCUGUUGGAAUUAUGUUAGUAGUUGCUGCAUUAUUUAUGAAAUAUUGCACAUAUGAAGUCAAAACAUUGUUUCCUCGACGGUUUCCUCGAGGAAAGAUUGUAUGUGAUACAAUCAGAAUGUUUUGUCGAUCCUAAGGAUACUAACAAGUAUUCAAGCUCCAGCGAUCCUUCAAUGGACUGGUGCAAGCAUCCGGAGUUGGAAUAUACACUUUGAUGAGAUGAUCAAAGAUUUUGGGUUCAUAGAAGGUUUAUGAGAAACUUGUAUUUCCAAAGAAGUGAGUGGGAGCACUAUAGAUUUUAUGAUAAGUAUAUGUGGUUGACAUAUUGUUGAUCAGAAGUAAUGUAGAAUUUUUGUGAAGCAUAAAAGGUUGUUUGAAAGGAGUUUUUCAAAGGAAUACCUGGAUUGAGCUACUUGAACGUUGAGCAUCAAGAUCUAUGGAGAUAGGUCGAAACACUUAAUAGAAGUUUCAACAAGAUGCAUGCAUAGACAAGUUUUUGAAGGAGUUCAAAAUAGAUCAGCAAAGAAGGAGUUCUUGACUGUGUUGUAAGGUGUGAAUUUGAGUAAGACUCAAAACCUGACCAUGGCAGAAUAAAGAGAAUAUACGAAGGUCGUCUUCUAUGCCUUGGCAGUAGACUCUAAAGUAUGCCAUGCUGAGUACCGCACCUGAUGUGUGCCUUGCAGCAAGUCUGUUAAGAGGUACACGGAGUGAUCCAGGAUUGAAUCACUGAUCAGCGGUCAAAGUUAUCCUUAGUAACUAAAUGAACUAAGGAUUUUUUUUCUCGAUUAUGGAGGUGGUUAAAGAGUUCGUCGUAAAGGGCUACGUUGAUGCAAGCUUUGACACUAAUCUGAAUAACUAUGAGUAGUGAAACGGAUUCGUAUAGUAGAUAUUUGGAGUAUUUCCGAAUAGCACGUAGUAGCAGCAUCUAUAAGAUGGCAUAAAUAUUUGUAAAGCUCACUCGUAUCUGAAAGGGUUCAGAACCGUCGACUAAAACCUCUCUCACAAGCGAGACAUGGUCAAACCCCAGAACUGUAAGAGUGUUGGAUUCGUUAGAACCACAUAGGGAUGUGGACUAGAUUAUUGACUCUAGUGCAAGUGGGAGACUGUUGGAAAUAUGCCCUGGAGGCAAUAAUAAAUUAGUUAUUAUAUAUUUCUUUGUUCAUAAUAAUCGUUUAUUAUCCAUGCUAUAAUUGUGUUGAAUGAAGACUUAGAUACAUGUGUGGAUACAUAGACAAAACACUGUCCCUAGCAAGCCUCUAAAUUGGCUAGUCAGUUGAUCAAGGAUAGUCAAGGUCUUCUGACUAUGUACAAGGUGUUGUUGCUUGAUAACUGGAUCACAUCAUUGGGUGAAUCAUGUGAUGGACUAGACCCAAACUAAUGAACGUAGCAUGUUGAUCGUGUCAUUUUGUUGCUACUGUUUUCUGCGUGUCAAGUAUUUAUUCCUAUGACCAUGAGAUCAUAUAACUCACUGGCACCGGAGGAAUGCCUUAUGUGUAUCAAACGUAACAACGUAACUGGGUGACUAUAAAGAUGCUCUACAGGUAUCUCCGAAGGUGCCCGUUGAGUUAGUAUGGAUCAAGACUCGGAUUUGUCACUCCGUGUGACGGAGAGGUAUCUCGGGCCCACUCGGUAAUACAACAUCACACACAAGCCUUGCAAGCAAUGUGACUUAGUGUAAGUCACGGGAUCUUGUAUUACGGAACGAGUAAAGAGACUCACCGGUAAACGAGAUUGAAAUAGGUAUGCGGAUACUGACGAUCGAAUCUCGGGCAAGUAACAUACCGAAGGACAAAGGGAAUGACAUACGGGAUUAUAUGAAUGCCUGGCACUGAGGUUCAAUCGAUAAGAUCUUCGUAGAAUAUGUAGGAUCCAAUAUGGGCAUCCAGGUCCUGCUAUUGGAUAUUGACCAAGGAGUCCCUCGGGUCAUGUCUACAUAGUUCUCGAACCCGCACGGUCUGCACAUUUAAGGUUCGGCGUUGUUUUAUGCGUAUUUGAGUUAUAUGGAAUGUUGUUCGGAGUCUCGGAUGAGAUCACGGACGUCACGAGGGUUUCCGGAAUGGUCCGGAGAUGAAGAAUGAUAUAUAGGAUGACCUCAUUUGAUUACCGGAAAGUUUUCGGCAUUACCGAGAAUGUACCGGUAGUGACGAAUGGGAUCCGGAUGUUCACCGGGGGGCAGCCCGCCCGGGGGAAACUCAUAGGCCUUAGGGGUGCCGCACCAGCCCUUAGUGGGCUGGUGGUACAGCCCAAGAGGCCCUAUGCGCAGAGAAGAAAAAAUCAAAGGAAAAAGAAAAAAGGGGAAGUGGGAAGGAAGGGAAGGACUCCACCUUCCAAUCCUAGUUGGACUAGGAUUGGAGGAGGAUUCCUCCCCCCUUGCUUCGACCGACCCUUGGGGCUCUCUUGAGCCUCAAGGCAAGGCCCUCCCCCUCCCUCCUAUAUAUACUGAGGUAUUAGGGCUGAUUUGAGACAACUUUGCCACGGCAGCCCGACCACAUACCUCCACGGUUUUUCCUUUAGAUCGUAUUUUUGCGGAGCUCGGGCGGAACCCUGCUGAGAUAGAUCACCACCAACCUCCGGAGUGCCGUCACUCUGCCGGAGAACUCAUCUACCUCUCUGUCUCUCUUGCUGGAUCAAGAAGGCCAAGAUCAUCGUCGAGCUAUACGUGUGCUGAACGCGGAGAUGUCGUCCGUUCGACACUAGAUCGGAGCGGAUCGCGGGACGGUUCGUGGGACGAUUCGCGAGGCGGAUCGAGGGACGUGAGGACGUUCCACUACAUCAACCGCAUUUCUUAACGCUUCCUGUUGUGCGAUCUACAAGGGUACGUAGAUCCAAAUCCCCUCUCGUAGAUGGACAUCACCAUGAUAGGUCUUCGUGCGCGUAGGAAUUUUUUUGUUUCCCAUGCGACGUUCCCCAACACAAGUAAGGGCAAUACCCAAGCGUCGGUCCACCCACAUAUCAAACUAUCAAAGUAACAAACGGGAAUCAUAUGAACAUGAUGAAAACUAGCAUGACAGAAAUUCCCGUGUGUCCUCGGGAGCGUUUUUCCUCCUAUAAGACUUUGUCCAGGCUUGUCCCUUGCUACAAAAGGGAUUGGGCCACUUUGCUGCACCAUUGUUACUUUCGUUACUUGUUUCUUGCUACGAAUCAUCUCACCACACAACCACUUGUUACCGAUAAUUUCAGUUAGUGCAGACAUUACCUUGCUGAAAACCACUUGUCAUAUACUUCUGCUCCUCGUUGGGUUCGACACUCUUACUUAUCGAAAGGACUACGAUAGAUCCCCUAUACUUGUGGGUCAUCAGCCAGCGCCACAAAGAUGGGCUUACUUCCAAGGAACGGGUCGCUCUGCACAAUAUCAGAUCCUUUUGCGCGGGACUCCUCAAAAAAUUGGCGCCUCCCUUGCUCAAGGAAUUUGAAGGGCUACGUGGCGUCAAGGCAGGACAUGAUCCUUUCACCCCGAGGCGUGCAACUCACUCUAUCUCGUUGGGGGGCAAUCAGAAAUCGAAGGCUUCGGUGGCGACACAGUGCUGCUGAAAGCGCUGGGCUUCGACAGUAACAAUGUGGCUGUUUCUGAAGACGCACUUGGACAGCUACGUAUGGUCUUUGACUCACCCUUGCAGGAGCCGCAACUAAGAGCUAUCGCCACCAUUUUUGGGAAGGCUAUCCCCCGCAACAUCAUCGACGAUUUGGAGAGGAACGAUGACACUGUGGUGUAGUAUCCGGGCAGGGCGUUGACAGGAGAUGCACUUGAUUCCAUGUCGACUGUCAAUUUGGAGGUGGUGUGCUGGAACGUGAGGGGUCUUAAUAGCCCCAUCAAGAGGAAGGCGUUGAGAGAGUGAUACGCCUCCGCCGUAUCUACUUUUCCGAACUCUUUUGCCCUUGUUUUCGACUCUAAUUUGCAUGAUUUGAAUGGAACUAACCCGGACUAACGCUGUUUUCAGCAGAAUUGCCAUGGUGUUGUUUUUGUGCAGAAAUAAAGUUCUCGGAAUGACCUGAAAAUUUACGGAGAUUUUUAUGGAAUUAAUGAAAAAUAGCUGCGCAAAGAUCCACCGGAGGAGGUGAGCCAGUGGGCCACAAGCCCAGGAGGCGCGACCACCCCCCUAGCCGCGCCUACCAAGCUUGUGGGGCCCACGUUGCUCCAUCGCCUCCAAUCUCAGCUCUAUUUAGUCCGUCUCGCCCGAAAAAAAUCAAGGAGAAGAGUUCAUCGCAUUUUACGAUACGGAGGCGCCGCCACCUCCUGUUCUUCAUCUGGAGGGCAGAUCUUGAAUCCGUUCUGGGCUCCGGAGAGGGGAGAUCGUCGCCAUCGUCAUCAUCAACCUUCCUUCAUCUCCAAUUCCAUGAUGCUCUUCACCGUUCGUGAGUAAUCUCAUCGUAGGCUUGCUGGACGGUGAUGAGUUGGAUGAGAUCUAUCAUGUAAUCGAGUUAGUUUUGACGGGGAUUGAUCCCUAGUAUCCACUAUGUUCUGAGAUUUAUGUUGCUACUACUUUGCCAUGCUUAAUGCUUGUCACUAGGGCCUGAGUGCCAUGAUUUCAGAUCUGAACCUAUUAUGUUGUCGCCAAUAUAUGUAUGUUUUAGAUCCUAUCUUGCAAGUUGUAGUCACCUACUAUGUGUUAUGACCCGACACCCCCGGAGUGACAAUAGCCGAAACCACUCCCGGAGAUGACCAUGGUAUGAGGAGUUCAUGUAUUCACCAAGUGUUAAUGCGUUGGUCCGGUUCUUUAUUAAAAGGAGAACCUUAAUAUCCCGUAGUUUCCAUUAGGACCCCGCUGCCACGGGAGGGAUGGACAAUAGAUGUCAUGCAAGUUCUUUUCCCUAAGCACGUGUAACUACAUACGGAAUACAUGCCUACAUUAGAUUGACGAACGGGAGCUAGUUACUUAUCUCUCCGUGUUAUAGCUGUUACAUGAUGAAUAACAUCCGGCAUAAUCAUCCAUCACCGAUCCAAUGCCUACGAGUCUUUUACUACUGGUCCUUGCUAUGUUACUUUGCUGCUGCUACUGUUACUCUAUUGCUACUGCUGUUACUCUGCUGCUACUGGUUACUGUUGCUACUGCUGCUAUCAUACGACCUUGCUACUGAUACUUUGUUGCAGACACUAAAUCUUUCAGGUGUGGUUGAAUUGACAACUCAGCUGCUAAUACUUGAGAAUAUUCUUUCGCUUCCCCUUGAGUCGAAUCAAUAAAUUUGGGUUGAAUACUCUACCCUCGAAAACUGCUGCGAUCCCCAUAUACUUAUGGGUUAUCAGAGAGUUUGUGGACUCGAUCCGCAUGGUGAUAGUUUGUAUUCUAGAGUCUAAGCUUGAGGCGGUGGACAAAUAUGUAAUAUUGCCAUGCAUGGGGACAAACUAUGAUGGCUUUACUUACCUCCCGACGUAGGCUACUAGGGGAGGCAUAAUUCUGGCAUGGGACUCCUCUAGGGCGCGGAUCUCUAACUUUGUCAAUGACACUAACUUCAUCACCGGAUACGUCUCGCCCACGGAGGGCACUCCAUGGUGGAUAUCCGUGGUGUACAUGCAGCAGGAGGACGAGCAGAAAAUUAACUUCUUGCGAGAAUUAUCGGACCGUAGAUCGCUCUGCCCGGGGCCUUGGCUUGCUAUUGGAGACUUUAACCUAAUCCUACAUGCGGCUGACAAAAACAACCCGAUCUUGGACAGGAGAAUGAUGGGGACGUUCAAACGCUCCGUCGACGAUAAUGCCCUAAAAGAGUUGUUUCUACAUGGAAGGAAAUACAUGUGGUGCAAUGAGAGGGAGGUGCCCACGCUCACUAAAAUUGACCGUGCGUUUGUAUUUGUGGAUUGGGAGCUUGAUCACCCGGACUGUCUCUUACAAGCUCUCUCCACCGCAUCCUCUGACCACUGCCCGUUGCAUCUAGCUAUGGAGGAUCAUGUGCACAUCAAGAGGCGGUUCCGGUUUGAGAGGUUCUGGAUUAACAUGGACGGCUUCAUGGAUGUGGUCCGUGAGGCUUGGGUAUGCGAUGAUAGCAUCACUGACCCUUUCUUGCGGCUCGAUCGCUUGCUCAGGAACACUGCGAAAGAACUGGCGGCGUGGGGCCAAAAGAAAAUUGGGAACAUCAAACUACAGAUCGCAAUUGCGAAUAUACUCAUCCUCCGGUUCGAUUGCGCUCAUGAGACUCGGCUGCUUACUGACAGCGAGAGAUGGCUCAGGAGAACGCUCAAGCAGCUGGUGUUGGGUCUCGCAUCCCUAGUGAGGACUAUUGCUAGACAAAGAUCACACAUAUCCUGGCUGCGCAAGGGAGAUGCCAACACGAAGCUCUUUCAUCUCGUGGCUAAUGGGAGGAGGAUGAAGAACCACAUCUCGGCGAUCACAGUGGAUGGUCAGAUCAUCACUGAUCAGAGGGGGAAGGAGGAGGCCUUCCACCAGGCGUAUCAUGAACUACUUGGGAAGGACGUGGCACGCGAGUUCACCUUAAACCUUGAUGAGCUCGAUGUUGUGCAGGAUGAUCUUUCGGAUCAAGACUGCAUAUUUCAUGAAGAGGAAAUUUGGAAGGUUAUCAAAGAACUGCCCUCCGAUCGUGCGUCAGGGCCAGACGGAUUCAUUGUCAUAUUCUUUCAGAAGGCUUGGGAGAUCAUCAAAGCUGACCUUACUCACGCGCUGCAUAAACUGCUCAUUGGAAAUGGGAGAGGGUUUGGUAGACUAAACCAGGCAUUGAUCACCCUGAUCCCGAAAUCACCGGUGGCUUGCGCGGUGGCGGAUUUUGGACCGAUCAGUCUGAUUCACAGUUUGCCUAAGCUAGCCUCGAAGCUCCUGGCAACGCGCCUUAGGCCUCGCAUGGGGGAACUGGUGCACAUUAACCAAUCGGCUUUCAUCAAAGGGAGAAACCUACACGNNNNNNNNNNNNNNNNNNNNNNNNNNNNNNNNNNNNNNNNNNNNNNNNNNNNNNNNNNNNNNNNNNNNNNNNNNNNNNNNNNNNNNNNNNNNNNNNNNNNNNNNNNNNNNNNNNNNNNNNNNNNNNNNNUACACGACAAUUUCCUGCUGGUUAGACAGCUAGCGCGUGGCCUACAUCGGAGGAAGGCGAAAGGGGUCCUGCUCAAACUGGACAUAUCUAAAGCCUUCGAUUCUCUAUACUGUCCCUUCCUAUUCGAGGUGCUAAGGGCCAAGGGCUUCUCCGAGCGAUGGAUAUCAUGCAUUGCUACCUUACUGACGACGGCUAGUUCGAGAGUGGCGGUGAAUGGUUGUGCUGGUAGCAAAUUCAUCCAUGCGAAAAGGUCUCUCACAAGGGGAACCUAUAUCCCCCAUGUUGUUCGUGCUGGCUAUGGACGUACUCACUUUGAUCAUUAUUAAGGCACAUGAGAACUCUGCUAUUAGCGCCAUGAACGGUUGUAGCCCGAUGCAACGCCUGUCCUUAUAUGUGGAUGACGUGGUGCUUUCCAUCAAACCUACUCGGCCCAAUCUGCAACUCAUGACUGAGGUGUUUCACAUCUUUGGCGUGGCUUCGGGACUAAAGGUCAACUACAACAAAUCUUCGGCUAUCAUGAUCAGGUCGGAGGAUUCAGAUGCGGAGCUUGUCGAGCGUGCGUUACCAUGGAAAAUGGAACAAUUUCCUUGCAAAUACUUGGGGCUGCAGCUAAGCAUCUGACAGUUACGUCGCUCGGAAUGGCAACCGAUUGUAGACGUGACACUUCAUAUUGUGCCGGGUUGGCAGAGGGGAUUGGUGACUAGGCCGGGACGUCUGGUGCUUGUUAACCAGGUCAUGAGAGCUAGGGCCACGCACCACCUGAUGAUUGUUGAGGCGCCCAAAUGGGCUUUGGAGAAAGUGGACAAAGGCUGUCGGGCCUUCUUGUGGGCUCGCACAUAGGGCAUCCAUGGCGGCAAAUGCGCUGUGUCUUGGGAUCGUGUAUGUCGGCCAAAGAGGCUAGGAGGACUCGGCGUGAUCGACCUGUACAGGCACAGGAUUGCCCUCAGAUUGCGCUGGGAGUGGUUGCGGCGUACAGAUGGCUCUAGGCCUUGGCAAGGUCUUAAUCUGGUUCCUGAUAAGCAAGUGGCCCAUGCCUUUGGCAGCAUGGUUAAGUGGAGCUUAGGAUCACGAUCACAGAUUCUGUUCUGGAAAGACAGAUGGAUAAACGGUGCCACGAUCAAGGAAAUUGCACCAUUAGUGGUGGCUAGAGUGAGAACCCAAGUGGCCAACAAGAGAUCGGCAAGAGAUGCACUUCAAAUGCAUGCUUGGACAAAUGAUAUUGUUGGAGAUAUGUGCACCGAAAGCUUGUCUCAGUUCAUCGCGCUCUAGGAGAUUCUUAUCGAUGUGGAGACCGACCCGGGCAGCGAGGAUAAACCGAUCUGGGCCUGGAUUGUGGAUGGAACUUACACGUCAUCAUCGGCUUAUAGGAUGCUUUGCGAGGGGGGGGGGGGGGGGGGGUUCCCCNNNNNNNNNNNNNNNNNNNNNNNNNNNNNNNNNNNNNNNNNNNNNNNNNNNNNNNNNNNNNNNNNNNNNNNNNNNNNNNNNNNNNNNNNNNNNNNNNNNNNNNNNNNNNNNNNNNNGGGGGGGGGGGGGGGGUAGGAGAUUCCAGUCUUAUGCAGAUAUAUGGAAGAGUUGGGCACCCCUGGCUUGCCGGAUCUUCAUGUGGUUGGCAGUGCAAUACCGGCUGUGGACGUUGGAUAUGAGGGCACGACAUGGGUUACAAGACAAUACCUCCCCUUGCUACUUGUUUGAUCAAGAAAAGGAUACAGUCGACCAUAUCCUUAUUCAAUGUGUCUUCGCUAGGCAGUUAUGGUUCCUUUGCUUCUCUAGGAUGUGGCCGGUAUCGCACUUGUGCCCAACUCAGCAUGACACCUUGGUGGAGUGGUGGCAGGUGGUUCGAAAGCGUAUCACCCAGCGCACAUGCAAGGGCUUUGACACACUAGUUAUGCAUGUCAGCUGGAGCCUAUGAAAGCAAAGGAACGACAAAGUUUUCGAUAGGAGUGCUGUCCUAAACGAAAGGGGCACGGUGAAUCUCAUUUUCGAGGAUCUUACGAACUAGACUAUGGCAGGAGCUUCUCGAGUGAUCCGUAUGAUUGAGUAGUACAGUCUAGUUAACUCGGGAGUGGGGGCUGGGUUAGGAUCGACCUGUGAUGCCUAACUAGCGAUGUCGUAAUCUCUUAUACAUAACUUCUGACUUCUAGAAAGCUGAAAAGGUUGUUGUCACUAUUAUUAACAUAAAAUAUUUUCAUUUAUUAAAUGAAUGUAUUUUCUUUAGCGGAUACCUGAAUUAUUUUUGGAACCCUAUGUCGAGAAGGCCCGGAACGAGUCCCACGAAAUGAACACACUUCUCGUUCAGUCCGACAUCCUUUAAAUAGGAGGAUAGCCAAGCCGAGCCGCUCCUACGGAGUCCCACCUCGCCGCCGCCAAACCCUCGCCCUUCUUCCGCCGGAGCCCACCGAGCUCUCCCACUCCAGAAAUUCCCCGAGCGGGAGCUCGCCCCCUCCAACGCCGCGUCCUCCUCCAGCUCCACAGGUAGGCCCUAGGCCCCGGCACAAAUCUUGUGAUUCCACCCAUCUCCACCUCGCAUCCAUGUCUCGGCCGGAUUGGUUCUAGUUUGCUCCCUGUUCAUGUUGUGAUGUCUAGGGUUUGUCUCGCAGGGACUGGUCUUCGGGAGAUUCCCAUUUGUUCCCGCGACCCCGCGCGCAGCAACCCUAGGCGGGCUCGUCCGCCAUGUUUCCGCCGAAAGGUCCCAAUCCCUACGGGCAGCAACCGCCGUACGGCGGGCAGCAAUCUUACGGCGGCCAAAUCGUAUGUCUCUCUCAAAAAAAAAAGCGCUGAUCUGGUAUUUGCUUAGUUGUGUUAUGUCCAGAUUCGUGGCAGGUUCUCAUCUUUUAUGUGCGCAAAAACCUGCGCUCUUUUGCCCUACUUUUGUGUGCAGCCUGGUAGCAGUGGAUUUGGGGCCUCAGGUGCGGCAGGUGCCCGCGCCGGACAGGCUGCUGCUGGGCAGUAUGGAGGGCCUUACGCGUCGGUGUAUGGCACACAGCAGGUGGUUAACUAAUCGCAAUUCACCAACAUUUUUCAAAAUUGGUUUCAAUAUACAAUUUAUUGGCCUCCUAAUGCAGUUCAUGCUCACUACUGUUACUGUGUAAGUUGCUUUGUCAGUCGUUGUUAAUGUGGUGUAUGUAGAGGGGGAAUCUUUAUAGCAAAGGCAAAUAAUGAAGGUUAUUAGCUGCCAGUUUGAUGCCUUUGGAAUGCAAAUGGUAGUAGAACCGCGCAGCUUCAUGCUCUCAUAAAUCUGAUGUAUCCACAUGGACAUCUGAGAUAAAAGAAAGCACUAGGUUUGGCCAGUGCUGAAGAGGCUGGCCAGGAUUAUUAGUUCUAGCUCAAAUAAAAUUAUCUAAAAUGUUGCUGUGUGAAUCCAAGUAAAACUAAGGUGUCCUCCUGGACCUGAUUUUUUUUGUUUAUCCUUACCCUUAUCCACACGAAGAGCAACUAGUAUUAUAUUAUCCCGGAAGUGUGCCUAUUUUUUUUUUUUUUGGAUGUUUAAAAGGUCACUGAUUCUGUUAGUCCAGAAAACCUAGGAAUUGAUAAUGGCCCUGUGAGAUAAUUGUACAAAAUGAGAGCCAGAUCUCUACUCAUCCUGAAAGAUAAGUAGCAAUGAUGCAGCAUCUAGCUCAUAUGCCCCUUUUGAGUGACCCAUGCUAUCGCCCGUCAUAAUCUAUUGGUUCACACUAGAAUAUUGCUCUGAAAGAUGCCUCACCCAAUGUCCAAAACAUACUAGUUAUGUAUGUGUUAUGCAUCAUUCUAUAUCUUGAUAGUGAGGUUUAAGCUUCAGCUUAAAACUGCAAGAAUCUGGAGGAUUGCAAGUAAAGGUUGCUCUCAAGCCAUCUCCACCUUGCCCCUCCCCUGCAUAAGUCUGUCAGAUCAUGUCCAAACUGUUUAGUGGUGUUAAGACUUGUGAGGGUUUUUGCAAACUAGAUAUAUUUCUGAUUUUCCACCGCAGAUAGGAAUCAAUGGGCUGAUUCUGUAGCACUUAUUUACAGCUACAUAAGCCCAAGGUCAGCUUUUUGUUCUUGCUGUUUCAUUCUUUGUGCCGCAUAAUUACCAGGUAAUUUGAUGUCUGUUUCAUUUUGUAAGUUCUUCUUGUCUCCCAAAUAAGAAUAUGACAAAAUAUAAUAGAUCCCACCAAUUACCAUUUCAUUUACAUGAAUGCCCCUAUCAUACUGAUUAAUGGCAGGAUAGAGUAGAAUAUGGUUUGACCAAUUAUCAUUGUAUUUACGAUAAUGCACUACUAAAAUAACUGAGCUUGCACUAGGCAUGUCAUAUUCAAUAUUUCUGAAAAAAGCAAUGCUAGAGCAUUUCAGCAUCCAGAAUUUCACAAUAUGGGGGCCUCUUUUAGACGAGGAAUGCAUGUUCAUGUGAGUUGUCUAUGUUAACUGACUUGGUGUCCUGGCAGUACCUCGAAGCAGAAAACAGAGCAAGUGCUGGAAUAAUUUGCUGGCUAGUCCACUAAACUGUAGUUGGUAGUCAUGUAGUAUCGCACAUAGCUUAUCCGUGUAUCAAGGAAUCAAAUGAUCUGGAAAAAGAAUACAAAAACUCUUUUAGGUAAAUAAGCUUUUCCUGGGAUAAACUUAUCUUAUGUGGCAUUAAACUUAUAUAUACUUGCCUUCACAUAAUAUUUGUGCUUUUGUGCAUUUUGUCAGAUUUAACGUGUUAAGCCAUUUUGCCGGUAGUUCGUGAAGAGCGGAUACUAGGAAGAGAUUUCUGUUAACCAGUCGUGUCUUUUUCUUUUGUUAUUUCCGAGUUUGUAUUUUUUAGGCCUUGUCUCAAUGUUGAUCUCAACUCUUUGUUUCAGCUGUAUUUGUAUGUUGAUUACUUUCUUCCAUGGUCAGAUCUCACCUCCUUUUAGUUUCAAGUGUCACGACUGUUCCAUGAGUUCUGUGCAUGAUAUCUUGACUGAAUAUCUGAUUUUUUUUUUGCAGGUUGGGGGACUUGGUAGCAAAGGUCCGGAUUCUUCUAGUCUUCCUAGCCUGCCACCUCAUACAUCUUCACUAUCUCAGUCAUCCAAGUUCUCGUCUGGAUCUGCAGGGUCUAACUUGCCAAGACCAAAUGAUGACUAUAUGGCUGUGCGUGGAUAUGCACAGAAGCUAGACCAGUAUGGUACUGAUUACACAUCAGAGAGAAGAAUGUAUGGUGAACACUCAGCUAAUCUUGGCAGGAGGGAUGGCCUUACUGAUUUGGAUAGAAGAUAUCCUGAUCAUAUACCUGCAGCCCAUCAGGUAUAUAAUGUGUGCUCACUUUUUUUGGGGGUUUUCCCCUUAAUUUAGUUAAUUUAGCAAACAUAAUCUUAUGACCACAUUUUUUAUAUCUCAGAUUCAUGACCGUGUGGAGCAGGUAGCAUUCGUCUUUCCCUUACAAAACUAUGGUCUGCUCUCUGUUAUGGCCUAUAAUUAUGUCUAUUCUGUUAAUCUUUUCAGGGUUCAACAAUGCGCCACCAGCCACUUCUGAAAGCUCAGCUGCCGCCUGUGUCUGAUAUGAGGUACGUUAGCUCACAGCCAGGUCACUUAUAUUGUUCAGGUUUUCUAUCCACAUGGUAGACCAUAGUCACUCUCAGUUUAAAAAGUGCAUCAAAUGAACGACUAUGUGCAUGUUCCAAACAUCUCUGCUUAGGACUAAAUUUUGUUAGUUAUUUUAAUUAAUGUACCUCACCGGCCCUUUUGGAAAGCUAAAUUAGCGAUCCUUUGUGUGUUUAUCACUGCAAAAAAACAUAGCACAUGCACUGAGUAAAAUAUGCAUUUCUGGCAGACAAGCCGAUUACUUUGCAGGAAGGUCCGCUCCAAUCCAUCAAGAAUCUCAGGAAAUUAGUACAUAUGGAAGGGCUGAAGCUGACCAUCGCAACUUGUCCAUUCUUGGGAAUGUUCCAUAUGGAGGACAACAAACAUCUUCAUUGUUGGGAGGCGCCCCUAGGACAAACAUUGAUAGUCUUGGCUAUGGGCAAGGAUCAUCAAGCAGUGGUUAUGGGAUGGGUCUGCCCCCGGGGCGUGACUAUGCCUCGGGGAAAGGCCUUCUCCAUCCAUCUUCAGAUUCUGAUUACCGUGACAACAUCUUACCCCGUGCACGUCCAGGCAUCUCCAUGGUUGAUGAACGUGCAAUUGACCGGGUUGGUUAUCGUCGUGAGCUGGAUCUAAGAGAUGAGGAACGUCGAAGGGAUAUGCUACUUGAAAGGGAGAAGGAGCUUGAACGGGAGCGGGAACGGGAGCUGCGAGACCUUCGAGACCGUGAAAGAGAAAGAGACCGUGAAAGAGAAAGAGAACGUGAAAGGGAAAGGGACCGUGAAAGAAUAAGGGAACGUGAAAGAGAAAGGGAGCGGGAGCGUCAAAGGGAACAUGAAAGAGAACGUCUUCGCGAGCGCCGCGAGAAGGAGAGGGAGCGGAACAAGAAGCAUGUAGCUGAUUCAAGGCGUGAGCGCACUCCACCUAGAACCCCUGGUGAUCGACGACGUUCUUCUUCUGUUAAGUCUGAGAAGCCUUUGCGGCGCCUUUCACCUCGACGUGAUGCUGUGCAUAGGUGUCUCCAUGUUCUCUCUAGCUUUGUGGAUGCACUUCGUCUUUGGUGCAGCCUUUUAAACUAACACUUUCGUUUGUUGUCCUGAAGGCAUCGUUCGCCUAUUAAAGAAAUAAAGAGAGAAUAUUUGUGCAAGGUAAACAAACAGUUGUGUUCGUCACAGUGUUCUUGCGAAAAUCAAUUGAUAGUAUUAAUUCUUUACGUGCCUCCUUGAUGCACUCUGGUCUCCAGUUUCCUUUACUGCUGUCCUUGUAUCUCUGUGAACUUAUGCGUCCACUCUUGGAAGUAAUAUCUGAGAGAUUCUGGGUUCCACUUAUCCAUCUAUCUACACCAAUCCUUGUUUUUGCCUUCCUAGCCACUUUCUCUUUUCUGUUACCACUUAUCUGGAGAUUUCUGGUUCCUUACUCUUCCACUUUGGAUAAGUUGGAAGACUAUUUACACCUUAAGCAUAGAUUGCACCAGAGUGGGUAUGAUUGAGCAAUCACGGAGAUGUCUUCCAUCCUCCAUUUCUCUCUGUCUCCUUUAUGUGCAAAUAUCAUAUUCAGUAUGUUCAGUUAUGCAGCAGUUUUAGUCUGAUGCCCAGUACGAACUCGUUGCUAAUUGGGCUGUCUGCUGCAGGUUUUGCCAUUUCGUUUUGUGGAUGAUGAGAGAGACUGUUUAUCUUUGACAAAAAGAUAUCCUAGGCUAUCAGUUAUUCCAGAUUUUUCUAAGGUUUGACAUUCUAUUCAUGACUGUUGAAAAUCAAAACUCAACGUGAAAUCAUGGUACUGUAUGAGUUUUUUUUGCCUUACUUGUGAUUUACUUGUUCUGUAGAUUGUCUUGAAUUGGGCUAAAGAAAGCCUAAAUCUUUCGCUGCAUACACCAGUGAGGUAUGCUUGCACUGUUCUCUUUGUUUUCUUGCUAAAUGUUCUUGAGCUUCCUAUUAAUGACAUGUUUUAUACUGUGUUGCUGCCACUGCUGUAAAAUAGUCUGGAGCAUGCCAUCUGUGAAGAUGACGAUAAAGCUGAUGAAAGCGCACUGGUCUCUUCUGAGAACGCAUCAAGCACAAAGACCCCUGAAACCAUUUGGAAUGCAAAGGUUUUUAUGUUUAUAACGUCGUGUUCAUUUUGGAGUAUGAAUUAAAGCUGUAGUUGGUUUGAGUAGUAGCUCCCGAAAUAAGUAGCGAUAGUGUUUAUUUGAGUGAAUUGUGUCAUUGUGCAUGCUAUAGCAAUAUUUGUAGAAAGCAUGUGGUAUAAUUGUCGUGGGCAUUAAUACUCAUGUUCGUAGAAAAUUAUUGCUUGCAAGUAUAUGACGUGCAACCUGUGCUGCUGACCUGCAUUAUCCAAGGGUUUCAUGGUCUUCCUCUUGAUCAUGCUUGCCACUUGAGCAAUCUUUUGAGAAAUGCUAGUCCGAAUCUAGCUUUUUGUAGGACGAAUUUCCCUUGCAUGAAAAAUAUGCCUUCGUCAUUCCAUCGCAUUGUGACAUAGAGACGUCUCAGAAAAUAAAGUUGUGCUAGUACAAUUUUCUGUUGCAUAUUAAUAUAGUUAUUGCGAUGCUAUGAUUUAUAUGUCUCCAUGGUGGUCCAUCGUGUGCUCACCCCUAGCCUUUGCCUAGUCUUUUUUCUUUGAAACUGGAGGAAAGUUUUCGUGGCAUUUGUACUCAUCUGAUAUUGUAAAAAAUCACAAGAGUCUGUCUUGGGAUUGACGUUAGCUCGAGUUUUGUUUUUAGUGCUUUUAAGUAAUCCAAAGAAGAAAAAUCCACCUCACGUUUGGCCGGAUAUAGAGGCACUUAAGUUAUGCUGUUUGUACUACCUUACAAGGUAACUCCAACCAUCGUGAAGUAAUUUCCUUCUGUGCUUACAUAUAUGCCCAUGUGCAGGUACUUCUGAUGAGCGGUAUGAGCAAUGGUGCCUUUGCUGACAUAACGUCGAUGAGAAGUACUGAGGAACGAGUGGUGCACUUGAACAAUAUCUUAAAAUUUGCUGUAUUCAAGAAGGAUCGUUCACUUCUUGCUAUUGGAGGCCCUUGGAAUGCAGCACUUGAUGGUGGAGAUCCAUUGGUUGACUGUUCUUGCUUGAUUCGAACCGCUAUCAGGUAUGCCUUGAUCAAGUAAAUGCACCAUGGAUAACUUGCAACUCUAAUUGUAAAUGCCUUGAUCAAGUAACCUAUCUUGUUGGACAGAUAUGUGAAGGAACUGGUUCAAGUUGAUCUAUCUAAUUGUACUAGUUGGAAUCGUUUCCUUGAGGUACUUCUAAACCUAUCUCAGCAUCUUCUAGGAACUGUAUUUCUUGAAUAUAUUCUUCUUUGGAUGGAAAACAUCAUCCUUCCAUCAUAUACCUUUUAUUUAAUUGGUCAUAUCUGGAUUCUCCUCUGAAUCGUAGAAGCGCAAACACAUAUAUUCCUAUAUGCUUUGUUCCAAAACUCUAUAAUGCACAUUUUACAUUAUGAAUCUUUAACAAUCAGUUUGCUUCCUGUUAAUUUGUUUGACAUUUCUCUGUUAUUUGUGUUUUAAAAUCUUCCCUAUCCGAAAUGACAAUAUUCGAAAGGAUAUUUGUGCUAAUAAUCGUCAGAAUAUUAGACAUUAUGACUGGUAACUGGUCAGUUGCAAAUGCGAUAUCAAACCCUACUCGUAUGUGGUUUAUUGGCUCUUCCAUAGGAUAAUAUGAGAGCAUUUACUCCAGUAAUGAAGUCAUUCGCUUUUCAAGGCAUGCUAUUAUUGCUGAAGUCAUCAGCAUAAUGUAAUACACGUGUUAUGCUGUAGGUCCAUUACAACAGAGUAGGCAUUGAUGGACUCUUUAGUCACAAAGAAAUUACUGUACUUUUUGUGCCAAACCUGUCGGAAUGCGUACCAUCUUCGGAUAUAUGGAGGAACAACUGGAUUGCAUACCGAAAAUCAAAGAUAGAAAGGGAGCAGUUGAAUAUGAAGAAGGAAAAGGUAAGCUUGUGGUUACUAUUAUAACAUACUUUGUUUUCUUCUGAAACAUCACUAAUAGUUCUGACUUCCUGUUGCAUUUUAGAGCCCAAGUGAUCCAAAGGAACAGAAACAAGGUUUGAAAGAUCCUCACUUAUCAUUUCACUGCCUUUUCCUUGUCUAAUGAAUAAAAUAAUUGAUCCUUGUUUAUUUGUCAGCAGUUUUAGAGGAGCCAAGCGAGGCUAAAAGUAUGAAUGAUCAAUUGAAGGAGGGUGAUGGCGCUGUUAAGAUUGAGAAAAUUGAUGCUGAUAUGGAACUUAAGGAGGGUGAUGGUGCUGCCAAGAUUGAGAAAANNNNNNNNNNNNNNNNNNNNNNNNNNNNNNNNNNNNNNNNNNNNNNNNNNNNNNNNNNNNNNNNNNNNNNNNNNNNNNNNNNNNNNNNNNNNNNNNNNNNNNNNNNNNNNNNNNNNNNNNNNNNNNNNNNNNNNNNNNNNNNNNNNNNNNNNNNNNNNNNNNNNNNNNNNNNNNNNNNNNNNNNNNNNNNNNNNNNNNNNNNNUUGAUGCUGAUAUGGAAGAGCAGGUCAAAGAUAGAGAUGUCAAUCUUGCUGGUGAUGGUGGCAAGAAUCCUGACAAUGUUGGGGAGCAAGUUGAGAAGACAGUGAGGGUUGUUGAAGGAAACGCUUCUGGUGAUGCUACUGUUGACCAUGUCACCGAGGAUAAAAAGCCCAUGAAGAAGAAAAUAAUAAAAAAGGUUGUGAAAGUUGUUCGAAAAAAGCCAACUGCUGAAGCUCCAGUGGAUAAAUCGCCUCAGGUUGACAAGAAUGCCGUGGCAGAAACUGCGAGCAAAACCGUCGAAAAGCACAUUGAACAAAAAAGUGAAGAUCUUGGGGAAGAGAAGGCGGGAGCUGGCAUUGGUCAACAGCCUGAGGCUAAGAAAACUGGGAAGAAGAAGGUAAUUCGAAGGAUUGUUAAAAGAAAAGUUCCUGCUUCAGCGACUGAGCCAACAGCCCUUGCUGCACCUGCUGAAGCAAGUAAACAAGAUGUGGCUGUUCAGCCGGAGAAGUUUGAUGAAGUCCCCACCGAUGCUGGGAAUUCACAGACUAAACUGGAAGAAGGAUUGAAAACUCCUGCUNNNN
This 62756-nucleotide long non-coding RNA is filed under the name Hordeum vulgare. RNAcentral's name for it is "long non-coding RNA (HVUL_LNC019861)". The record is from RNAcentral. Lineage: Eukaryota; Viridiplantae; Streptophyta; Magnoliopsida; Poales; Poaceae.